Molecule: long non-coding RNA, 55167 nt
Filed under: Setaria viridis
Lineage: Eukaryota; Viridiplantae; Streptophyta; Magnoliopsida; Poales; Poaceae
Description: long non-coding RNA (SVIR_LNC010259)
Rfam family: Plant signal recognition particle RNA (bases 36220-36523)
Source: RNAcentral
UUCUCUCAAGUGCUUGCAAGCACUGCAUAAGCACGAACAUGAUCAGAUAAAGCACUUCAGACCAAUGUUAUUGCAUUGAUUAUUAGGUCUUAAGAGCUUUUGGGUUACCCACUCAGCAGAAUCAAGGUACUCAAUGGCGAGGAGUCAGAAGAGGAGCAUGGGGAGUAGGCCGUGGUGGCUUCAGUAGCACGAGGCAUAGCUUCACAAAGAAGAAUUCUUGCAUUGCAUACUUUUCUAAAGUCAGAAAAAUCCAGUGUAUAUAGCAUGUUUAAAUAUGAAGAGUAUUUCAAAUCGAAGGUAUUACAAGAGCAGAAUCCUUGCAUGCUUUUCAAAAGUUAGAAAAAUUAACUAACAUAUUGUUCUUUGGCCAAAAUUUUCUGUGGCCAAAAUUGAUCCAAGUAAAUUUGGAACACCAACACAACAUUAGCAGUUGCAAACCUACAAAUCCACCAUAGCCUUUUUUAUAUAACUGCAGACGCUUGGUCUUUGUCAAACUUGAAAAAAAAAAGGCUUAAUCUCUAGCUCAUUAAGUUCAAAACUAACACUAAAACAGAAAAAAUACCAACUAUAAAAAUCAUUAAUUGUUCUUUCUUCAGCACUCAUGAUCUAGAGAGUCGCUUGGCAAAAUGGCUUAAAAACAAAAUAAAGUAGCGAAGCUUUUUACAAGUUGGCUAGGCUAUCUUGUUGGUUCUUUACAAGUUGUUGACUAUGUAAUUCCACCAUGGCGUUCUGUCAAAGGUAAGCAUGAACGUUUCAUCUUCUAUUUCUGAAGAUUAAAUGGGGCUACCACUUGACAAUGAAGCCACUCUUAGGUCUUCUGUUUCCAGUUGUCCCUACACCGUAGGAGGGCAAAGAGGUACCGGCAUUCACAUCUCAGAAAGCAAGCAUCCUGACGUGAUUUCUUCCUUUUCCUGCAAGUAGAUGUCAAUAAAAUUUAUAUUUACAAAGGCCACAUCCCGUUUAACCUUUAGUACUUAAGUUUGAAUUUCUAUUCCAGUGCUCUAUGAUGAUUACUUGAAUAAAUGUUUCAUAAGCUCUAUGUUAUUACACACUGAUGGUUUUUUCCCGGUUUGUUGUGAUUUCUGACAUUUUAAGCCAUCCCAAUUCUUGCAGCCUAAGUGUAAUUGGACAAUUCACAUCUUAUAUUAAAGUGAUAUAGACUUAUUUUUACUCGUGGCAAUGCACGAGCAUAGACCUAGGGCAUAUUCUAAACACAAAGUUCUGAAAAUUAUGACUAUAUAUUACACCCGUCGUACAAUGCACUAUGACUAUGAUUCACUAUUUAUCAUAGAAACUAAUAUAAAAGCAUCUCAAAUAUCUUCCGGCAGAAGUACCAACAUCAUAGUUGAGACUCGAUCAAAAUUAACACACCAAGGUCAGCAAGUGAAAUAUGGUGAACAUCUGGGAAGGCGUGGAAUAUAGCGCACAAUCUUCUCCACCAGGAGGAUGUCGGGGACGCUGCCGUGAGGAGGUGCGGCAGGCACAGCGCCGCCGCCAAGGCCGCCGCCAAGGCCGACGGCGUGGAUGCGUGCAGACGCGCGGUGGCCGUCGCUGCCGCCACCGCGGACGUCGAGUGGUGGUGUGCCGGCGUGAAGUGCGCCAUCCCGGCGGCAGCGGCAGCAGCAAGUGGGCGAGGGCGGCGGUGGUGCUGCGAUGGGAAACCUGCCCAGACGAUGAGAAGACCCUGCCCGGAGGUGGCCAGGCGUGGCGACGGACAGAGGAGGUGCAACCGUGGGGAGGAAUGAGGGAGGGGCAGGAGGUGGCGGCGGACUGGAUCCAGGCACGACGCGGUGGCAAGGAGACCCACUUGGAUUGGUGGACUCAGUCCACCGAGUCCGUGGAGGUGGUGCAGUGUAUGGUCUAUGGUGAACCGCGUCCACAUGAAGGGGUACGAUCUCUAUCUAAUCCAAGCUGUUGGUUUUGGAUCUAAAGGCUCUAUCUCCGUCUUCUUCCUCCUAUCCAGGUUGACGGCGACCGCACGGUGGAGCCAUGAACGGUGCAUGGCCGGAGCUUCGCCGGAAAAUGAUAGGACGGUCUACGAGCGAUGGAUUUCAAUGAGAAACACAAAAAAAGAAAGAGGAAGCGGAGGAGAUCUCAAUUUGAGGGUUACAAUGAGUCGCAGUAGUGCAGCUCAACUGGAUCGUGUGUGCCACCGCCGCUUCUACCUCCUUCGCCUGGGGAUGUCGUACCUAUUUGGCUUGGUGCAUAAAUUGAGGGCGGCGGCGGAGACGAUAUUCACGUAAAGGAGAAGAGGAACACGAAACGCUAAUUCAGCGCAGAAAUCGCGGCGUGCGCUGGGGCGUGGUUCCCCUAGGGUGCGCGUAGGGUUCGAUCGAAAGGUCAGAGAUGGAGGCGCGAUCAUCGUAGGAGGCAAGGGGCGUCUCGGAGGGGGUCGAUUGGAUCAACGGUGUAGGUGAUUAGCGCGAGCGCGUUUGCAGGUAACGGAGGGACGCUAAGCGAUCGAGGGCGAACCGAAAGAGCGGAAGAUAAACGACGUACGACAUUUUGUGUCGGUUUUAGUUUUUUUUAGCUGUAGAGAUUAGUCGCCUGAUUCUUUGAUCAACUCGACACAAGCGUCGCUGGUCUCUGCACACUUCGCCCUGGCUCCUGCUACCCUCGAUCCUGUAUCUGUGCCCCAAAAAAAAUGGUCAAUGAGAGCAAACAAUUGCGAAAGAAUGGCAGGAUGCCAGGAUGUGUCCGACAAGAUCGCUGAAAUUCCCGCUCGGCUCGCCUGAUGUCUCGUGUCGGCGCGCUCGCAAGUCGCAAUUCACAAACACGUGUGGAAACAUGAGCUUCACAAGGAAUGUAGUGUACCAUUCCUUCCACGUCGCUCGGCCCUGGGGCCGUCAAGUCGCGCCCGUUCCUCCCGUUUCCCGUCUCCGGCGACCAUGUCGGAGGCGUAUGGCCAAGAGAGAAACAGCCAGGCAGGCACGACGCAAUCGCGUCAGGGAAAAGAGAGAGUCCCCGCCGCCGAACUCUCUGUCGCCUCACGAUGCUGGCCUGAUAUCCGUGAAAAUGGUGGACACUGUUGUUAUCUUCCUUUUGGGUGGACAAUGGGCACCGCUGUUAGGCAAAAUCCAAAGAUCAGGCUGGAGAGGAAGAAUGAAACUGGAGACCGCAACGAAUGAAACUGGAGACUGCAACGUCGUACGUACGGCUCCAGACAGAGAAGCAGACUGUGAAAGUCGCCGCUUUGUCUAGUGCAUACUGUAGCUGUCGACUAUCCCUUCGUCCUAUAAUAAAUGAUUUUAAAAUUUGUCCCAAAAUACUAACUUUUUUUCUAGUUUCUCCCCCCUCGAAGUGCAAUGAUUACAUCUUUACAGGGGUAUAUAUGUAAUUUCGCACUGAAAUCGAUCUCUUCACACAAACUCUAGAAGUGCAUUUAUUUUGGGAUGGAGGGAGCGGUAACUUUCGGCUACAGGCCUACAGCCUUGCCUAGUACUCCCUCCGUCCCAAUUUAAGUGCAAUUGUAACAUUAAAAAAAGUUCCAAAUUAAACGCUACAAUAGUACAUACUCCUAGGUGCUCACCGUUCAUUGUUAGUCUGGGCACCUAUGCAUGUAGGCCCAUUUGUCAAAAAAAAAAAUCUGAAGCUCCUAGCGAGUUGGCCAUCCUCCGCCUAAUCUGAAAAGUUCUCGGUCCUUCCCACCGCUCGUUCCAGCUUCUUCCCCACCGCUCGCAUCGCGCUGCCUCGAUUCUUGCCUCGCAUCCAUCACACCGGCCCCCGGCGACACCUCAACGCUCCCUCCCCUCUCCUUCUGCGUGUGUUCUAGAUUUCCUCUCCCCUCAGAAAUCCUUCCAUCCGCGCAUUUUCCACAUACCCUAUCCCCAUCCAGUGCUCCUCCACCUCGCGUUCAUGGCCCACGGCAGUAGGUGCCCACGGUGGGAGGAAGGGGGAUGACAACAUCGUCAUGAAGCCAGGUAGCCGCAUCUACGGAGAGUGGAUCUACGUGCGCGGCCACCGAAUCAGACGGAGUGAUCGCAUGAGGUUAUGGUGCCUGCCUUCUUCAACCCCUAGUUCAUUUGCCGUUGCUUGAUGUGUGAUAAUAAAAUGAUUUUGAUUGGGAUAAUGGACAUCUACUAUGUGUGAUGGUGAAUAUUUAUGUGCUCCAAUAAAUAUUUAUCUGUGCUAAUGAAUGUUUAUGUUUAUCUGUGAGGCUGUAAGCUACUGCAGGUUGUAAGCUAAAGUUGUUAUGAUAUGUUUAUACCUUCUAUUAAGUAAUUAUUUGAUAUAUCAUCUACCAGCCCACUGGAAUCAUGAGGGGCAUGCUACUACAUGAAAGCGAUGGACUAAAAGAGGUUAUGUGCAACAUUAAUCCCUAUUGUUGUUCAGUUAAUUCACACUUUUAUUUCUCAUGUCUAAGUUUGUAGUAUAAGGUAAAUUAUUCCUAGUUGCUGACUAACACAAGAUUCUAUCUAACUUAGUUAGCAAUUUCCUUCUCAGAACUGCCCAAAGUCAAGUUCUCACAGUAGUGGUUUAUACAGCAGUAGCAAUACAAUUAGUUACUUAAAGACUCCAUCAUAUUCUCAUAUAGCUAGCGGUGAACACUAAGGCUUUUAGGCAGCAUUCCUAGUGCCUCAAACCUAUCUUUGUUCAUGUGAGGAAUCUUGUAUCUGUUUUCACCACCAUCUUUCAUCACCUCAAUCAAACAACCUUUUAGUGUUAGGAAAACCCUAUUCAAAGCGGAUGGGUCGUAUUCAUCAAAUUCUUUUUGUACAUUCUCAAUCAGCUCAUCCAUAUUCCUAGAGGUCGUACUGUAGGCUAAUGAUUGAAGAGAAGCAAAGAAUCCUAGGUCUAGUGCAUUCAUAUCCGAGGAAUUGGGAGGUUGGUUGAUGAUUUGUAUGUUCAGACCUGUCUGUGUUACAACAGCAGCAAAGUGUUCAUCAUACACAAGCACGUGAGAAGGGGCAUUAUCUUGCUGGAUCCAAAUGGUCUUUCCUGCAUCUUCUCGAGGCCAUCGUGCAACAAUAGCUGGUAGAACUUUAACAAUUAUAUACAACCUCAUAAUAUCUCGAUCUACCUUGAUAGACUUGGUGACUAGGGUUCCCCUUCCUCUGUUAUGGCUUCUUCUUUUUGCUGGUUCCUAUAUGAAAUGAAUUGAAGUUAGGAUCACAAAUGAGUACCACAAACUAAUGUAAGAAAGUGAAACAAGUGUGGUACCUUUCUGAUAAACGCCCACACUCCUAUCUUUCCAUCAAAAGUACAAUUACCUUUAUCAUCAUAUCUAGGUCUGGCCACUGCCGUCAGGAACAUGACUUUGCUAAUAGAAUUCUUAUUUUGCACGGUCCUAUACAGUUCCUCCUCUCCUGGGAGCAAAUAGUAGUUCCUGUCUUUUUUUGUGGUGUAGUACCACUUCUCGUCUAGGUGGAUGAUGUUUUCCAUUUCAAUGAACUUAGGUUCAUUUGGCAAUGUCCUUUGAUCUUACAUGAAAAUACAUCAUCGCAGCCUCUCUUUCUUGUUUGCUUCUGUCAAUAGAGGCUUUAGUGUGUUAGAGUGGCGUCGUAGUUGCCCUUGCUUGAACCACCUAUGUAGAGUGCUCUUCGUUACACCAAUGGCUGCAGCUAGAGAUCGUAUAAUAGUCCUCUUGCGUAAGAGAACACUAAGAACCUCAGAUAGAUCAGCUUGUAUUUUUUUGCGGCUACAGUUCUUAGGCUUCCUUGAACUAACAUCCACUGGUCUUCCUUGUGCACGACACUCCUUCACUCUCCGCCAAACACGUUGCACUUGAUACCUACUAACUUGUAAUAUUUCAGCAACUCUAGUUGUAGUGUUCCUUUUCAGACCCAUAUAUCAUGCAUGGCAAGUGGGCUGACUGCACCAGGCCUCCAAAAUUUUGAGGCCCCCAUGUUCAACAAGUACAACAAGAGUACAUGACCUGACCUCCCUCUGGUGGCCUUUGUUCAUGCGACUUUUGGCCUGGAGAUUCUGUUGUCGGUCCGUCCGAUUAGUAAGUCUGGCCUGCCGAUUAGAAUUCUAAUCGCUAGAUCGCGUGAGCGUCGAGGAAGUAGGAACCGCGCUUCUCGCCUUCGCCUCAGCGCCGUCGGCCACCGCAAUCGCGCCAAGUCGCCGAGUGCUCGAGUCAAUUAGAAUCAAUUAUUUUCUAUCCAUUGUUGAUCAAGCUAUUGUUUCACUUACAAAGAGGUUCGAACAAUACCAGGGGUAUGAAAAAACUUUUGGUUUUUUGUUUACUUCAAAGAAAUUAUGCUCCUUAGAUGACAAGAGUCUGUUGUCUUCUUGUGCUCGUCUUGAGGCUGCACUUAAGAGUGGUGACCAUUCUGAUAUUGAUGGCAAAGAAUUACAUGUGGAGUUAAAGUUUCUCCAAGAUUUCAUUCCAAAGGAAGACAUGGGCCCUCUUGAUAUUCGAAGUUUGUGAAAUGGAUGGUCUGUUUUCCUAAUGCCCUUGUUGCAUACAAAGUUUUGUUAACUAUUCCUGUAACAGUUGCAUCCGCAGAACGAAGCUUUUCCAAAUUGAAGUUGCUAAAGACCUACAUGCGCAGUACUAUGAAACAAGAAAGGCUAAAUGGAUUGGCGACAAUUACGCUUGAAAAUGAUGUUCUAGAGAAGAUUAAGUAUGAAGAUAUAAUUGAAGAUUUUAUUUCGAAGAAUACUAGAUGAAUGAUGCUUUUUAAUAGAAGCUAAGAAGUUAUCAGUAAGAUUCGUCAUUUAAUCAUUUUGUACGAAUUCUUAUGGUAUUACAUGAGGAAGUCUACGUGCACUUUGGCUAUUUGCAUUUUAUAAAUAUAGGCCCCACUUUAUGUUUUGCACCAGGGCCACAAAAACGUAGGUACGGGCCUGUUCCUUUUUAAUCUUCCAUGCAUACUUCUCUUGAGCAAUGCUGCAUAAUUUUCAUGCCUUCCAGUUUCUGUCAAAUUCCUGGACGGAUAUGAAAUAUUUUUAUUUGCAUGGUCAUGUUCAAAAUCUGAGUCUUCUAAUUCAUCUUCAUAAAGGCUACGUCUGCAGUAUCAGCAUCCACACCAUAGUCUUGCAUGUACUCGAUCAUGUCUGCAUAAAAAAAGUGAUAAGUUCUUCUACCUAAUACUGUAGCCCAAAGGUUACUUGUUUGACUCCUUUCUAAUGAAUGUGCCACAUUAUAAAAUGCUUGAUAGUCUUGGUGGACUGAUAUAAUUAAGAGAACAUAUUACCUUCACUUGGUUGUUGCAGCUCAGAAGGAUCAACAUUGAGAUCUAUUCCAUGCAUAGCAACCUGCUCAUCUUCAUGAAAGGCUACGUCUGCAGUAUCAGCAUCCACACCAUAGUCUUGCAUGUACUCCAUCAUGUCUACAAUGAAAAAAGGUGAUCAGUUCUUCAACUUAAUACUUACUUGUUGGACCCCUUUCUAAUGAAUGUGCCACAUUAUAAAAUGAUUGGUAGUUUUGGUGGACUCACAUUAUUAAGAGAACACAUUACCUUCAUUUGGUUGUUGCAGCUUAGAAGCAUCAACAUUGAGAUCUAUUCCAUGCAUAGCAACCUGCUCAUCUUCAUGGAGAAGAUGGGACUAAGCUUCUUCAAGCCGGUGAACUUCAUCUUGCAGGACAUGGACUUCAUCUGCUUGCUCAUCCAGUGGUUCUCCAUUUAGAUCAGGUAAGCAAUGUUCAGCUACUUCAUCUGGUAUUGUGUUUAGAUCAAUGACCAUGGUUGAUGGUGAAGUGGAUUGAUCAAUGGUCAUGGUUGAUGGUGAAGUGGAUUGCAGGCUGGAAUGGAUGAUUUGGAGCACGUGAUGUGCUUAUAUAGUGGGGCAGUGCUACUAUGGUGCACGGCGUUUAAAUUUUGAAUGUCUAUGUAAUGGCGCCACUUUUCUCUUUGUAAUGGUUCUAGACUGGUGUUAUUUUUCUCUUCUGGUAAAUUCUGGAGUGUAAACGUGGCACACAACUGGCUUACGUUUAUUUUGAUGCUGGAGUGUAAAUGUGGCACACAACUGGCUUUCAAGUUUGUUUUCAAAUUAUGCAAUCAUUAAUGCUACUUUGAGUCCAUCCAUAACCGGUAAUAAUGUCAUUUGCUAUCCCCUUCUUAAAAUGCACUAUAUUGGUACGGAGGGAGUACAUGGACACGCAUUGACUUGCUCAGAGUCAUUUUUUAUACAGUUUCUCCGAGUGCUCCCGUCAUCCCUCUCUAAUCAGAAAAACUGCGCCAAACUACCACCACACAAGUGUUCCACCUACUCCACGCCGGCAGGCGGGGCCCGAACAGAGAGGCAAACGCAUCACGGCAGGAAGAGAUGGAUCUCCCGGCCGCCGAGCCGAAGCGAGGAGGAAAAAGAAGCGGAGGCAGCAGCGCGAUGACGUCGCGGGGAGAGAGACCCGUGAGGUCACCACAGGGGGACGCCUUUUUGACGACUGACACGGCCUCUCUCGCCUGGCGACUGGCGAGCGCGCCAGGCCAUCGGUUGUCCGAGGAAUAGCCGCGUCGGCGUCGUCGGUCUCUGGCUGUUCUCUGCCGGGCUCCGCUGACAGCUGACAGGCAGGCCGCCCGCGCCGGGAGAAAGUUCCCUGCGCGGCCCCUUCCUUUUCAGAUCGAAAGGAGGGGCGUCAGGCACCCGCGGUUCCGGCGAGAUUCGAAUUCGAGUGCUGCCGGCCUGCCAUGGUCCUUGUGGGUUGUGGUGGUAUGUGGGCGAGGGUUUUGAGCCUCUACGUAUGGCUUCUUGAUAAUUGAUUCGUACGUAGUUGCGAGUGCAAAUCCAAUUGAAUGCUCGCUUUUCUUUGCGCGUUUCGAUCCGUCGCCAUCACCGAGAAUGUGUUGGCCCCCUUGAAUCGAACAAAGGUGUGACCUCGUGUCAUGUGAUCGGUGCCAACGAGAACCUAUACCUGGAGUUAGGAUUGGAUGCUCGGAGCAAGGUCCUAUGCAACAAUAAUUUCGUCACAGCAUGAUUCUUCUUCCUUGCAAGGAAACAACCCAUUUUUUUUUUAAAAAAAAGAAGGAAUCGCUGCUUGUGGUGGGUGGGUCACAGCUCACAACGUUUUUGUUUGCCAUAGGAUUUUACCACGAGUCAAAAAGCAGAAUGUGUCUCAAUAUACACCUUUCGAUUGGCUGUCCACUGCGUCAACGCAAGUUCCAAUGCGAUUUAUUGCUACUUCUUAAAUUCCCUUAAAAACGCCCAUAAAAUGUCGGUGUAUCCAGUGUGGAAAAAUAAAAUAGGCGCGGCCAGCGAAGCCAGCCAGCCACGACUCACGCGACCCGAACCCGACCCGUUUUUAACCCCGCCGGCCGGGGAAAUGGCCCGUCCCCCUCCAGGCCCUCCUCCCCUCUCCCUCUUCGUCGCCCCGGCCGAGAGGGGGGGCGCAAGCGCGACCCCCAAUUCCGCCGCCUCCGGCCGCCAUCGCCGCGGCCGGGGACCCCUCGUUGCCUCGGCUCGCCCAAUCCGAGCACGGACGCCGCGCGGUCCCUCCCUCCCUGCCCCGUCCUCCCUCCGCCGGACCCUCCACCCGACGCGGCGCGAGCGCGGGGCUCCCUGGUCCGUUGUUGCUCGUGACGGCGCCCGAAGCGCCGCUCCGCUCUCGGGAGUCUAGUGCUGACGGAGAUCCGUCGGGGGUCGGGACGAGCUCUUCCCGUGCUGGUAAGUAAUUGCUCCGAGUAAUUUCUCGUUCGCUCGCAUGGAUUCCUUUGCUCUUAUUUGGAGCAAUCGAACCCAGAUCCUUCGUUCUCUGCACUCGGUUCCUUGUGGACUUUGUGCUGCAUGGUAAACUACGGAUUAGAGUUGGGCGCACGAUUGGGUUGGUUGCGAGAUCGACAUUAAUUGUGCGUUCAUUUUCUACGUAAGUUUUGGGCGAAUUAGAGUUCCUAGUGAUUCCCCUAUCCCCGAUUGCCCCAGGUGAAAUUCUCCUUGAAUUUGGUAUUCCCGGAUUUUGUUCCUAGCGAUUCCCCUGUCCCAGAUUGUCAGUUGCAGUUUAAUUAUAGUUGUAGUCGAGUUUAUGUUCAGCUUAUUCCUAUUCUAGCUGUCUUCAGUAGGAGCUCCGCAUUUUUCUUUUCUUUUCUUUUUUUCUUUUUUGGGCACAUAACCUUUUGAUUUAUAGUUGGAUUUAUAUUUAAGCGGCAUAUAUUCAACCGGUCAAUUUCUGAACAUGGAUGACUUUGGCUUAUUUAUGUUAUUGAUUGAUAUUAGGAAGGUUUGUUAACAUCUCUUCGAGAUCUUCUGGUUUGUUUUUGUAGAAUUUCAAAUUUCAAGUGAAACUGUAUGUACUUGUUCUGUCUGCUGGUAAAUAUAUUUGUAGGGAUGCAAAACCCUCUGGUUUGGUACUCUCAGGACAUUUCGGUGUGGAAUCAGGGAAUAGAUGAAACGCUCAUAUCAUAUUAGAUUCUACUGUCUGUCAUUGGUCUGCUGACCAUACAUACCAAUACUGUCCUCAGUGACAAACAUCUCCAUGAGAUUGAAGAAUGAAAUAUCUGUCCCAUUUGUUAGGCUUAAACCUCCUCCUAAUAUGUUUUCUUGUUAACGUUAUUGGGUUAGUGUUACCUUCCUUAAAUCCUUAAGACCAUCUCAUAGCAAAUGCAUAAAUGUUUUCUGAACACGAAGAGGGAAAAAACAUCGACCAAGGAUGUUGAUAAUUUUAAUCCAUGCAUUUUGUGUGAUUCGGUGGAGGGCACAAUGUUGAGAAAUUUAUUUAUUGUUUUUCUACUGCCUACCAUGCUAUUAGUUGAUCCAGAAGUCUCCAUAUUCCAGUAUACUAGUGACUGUGUCGAUCUUAGAAGUAGAAUUUGUGGCCGUGGAACAUAUUUUGAUUUUGGUCCUGUGAAGUUUACUUACUUCUGUUUGUACAUAUUGUAUCUUUUGUUUAUUUAUUAAGCUGCUCUUGCAGGGGAAGCAGAUUCGCUAGAUAAUUCUUAUCAUGAUUGUAUUUGUGUUCCGUUACAGGAUUUUUGUUAAUAAUGGGAGAGAAUAAAUGGAUGGGCAAAAGAUGGGAGGACAUGGACACUGAUGUCCUUGUGAAGAUAUUCAAGGAAUUAAAUUUGGUUGAGUUGUCACCAGUUUCCCAAGUUUGUCGAUUGUGGCGUUUGGCCUGUUCAGAUCCACUUAUUUGGGGCACUCUUGACUUUGGAUUGCUAAAAUCCAAUUUUAUUCAGACAAGAGCAUCACCAUAUAUUUGGGUUGAUGAUAGGUCUGACAAGAGACUUGCAAGGAUACUACGGGUGGCUAUGGCAGUUAGCUGUGGGAAUGUCAACUGCAUGAUAUUCCAUUACAAUUUGUACAUGAAAGAUGAGCACCUUCAUUUCAUCUCGGAAAGGUAACAACUAACAAAACCCUUCAAGUUUCAUCAAUGCUGUAGUCCCACAGUCCUAUAUGUGUGUCAUACCUCACAUGUAACUUAUUAAUCCUGCAAGGAUUUUGAACACAAUAGUUGAACUACAUCUUAUGGCUUUCUGCACAGAUGAGUGCUUGUAGCUAGUUAGCGCAGCGGUGAUAUGAGUUCUGCAGUUAAAUCACACAUAAAUAUGAAUGUGUUAUCCAAAGUAGAUAUUCUAUUUUUCUAACUAUUCUUUCAUGCAUUUAUUGUGUUAGCAACUUUGGAUAGCUGCUAUGUCCCAGCCAUUCAAACUAGAAGGGGUCUAGGGAAUGCUGUUAGAGACUUAGAAUACUCUUAAAGUUGAGAAUCGACUCCUCUUUUUUUUUGGGUACAUUAAUCUUAUGAUUAUAUCUCGAGAAAACUCCUGAUGUUUGAGUUUUUGUGGUCUCUCACUUUGCGUUGAAGAGGCUAACACUAUAAUUUUGCCUGAUGUCUAGCAGGUCUCCUCACCUAAAACGAUUGGUUAUGCCAGCAUGGAACCGCAUCACCAAAGUGGGAAUAUGCCAAGCUAUCCAAAGGUGGCAAGAGCUGGAAUCCUUGACAAUGCCUACUAUCGGACAUCCUCCGUAUAUUAUGGAAGAGAUAGGCAGAAGCUGCAAGAAUUUCACAGAACUUAAGAUCAUGGGCUCAUUUGAUCACAAUUUUGCCUCUGCGAUCUCACAGUUCCUUCCAAAGCUGAAGGUUUUGAGCCUUCGUUGCUCGAAAGUGAACAUGGAUGCACUGCAAUCUUUACUGCACAAGAUGGAAUAUCUUGAGGUUCUGAAUAUUUCCCACUGCCUGCUGUUGGUCGUUGCGGCAAACGGGCGGAAGCAAGUGGUUCAUGAGCUGGAUGGCCAAAUUCUCGAGAGAGCUUCACGGCUGCGUGAAUUCCAUUAUUGCCAGAGCAGGUCAUGCAUCACAUGCCAACGGAUGGUGGUGGAUGAAGGCAUCAUGCGCUGGUACAGAUACGAGGAUUGGUUUUGGCGUCGAGAUGAGGUCAGGUCCCUUGAUCUGCAAGAUUAUGGGAAGCUCUUUGAUGCUGGUUGCGAGAGGAUGACGUCCGUGGAGUAGAUGGCUAGUCCGGGUAUAAAAUCCGCCUCAGUGUAGAAACCUGUUGAUCUGGCAUUCGUAAACCAUAACAUAGCAAGCACCGAGUUGUAACCGUAGAUAAAUAAUGUUGACAGUAAUGUCAGUGAAUGUGUAGCUUGUGCUGUAAAUCCAUGAAUAGUUCGUCAUGUUUGAAUGUGGUUGUGAUAUUCUCAAUGGUGACUGCAACAGUAGAGUUUUACCCUAUGCUUAUGAUGUUGCAUGGAUGCCAGCUGAUUGUACAUUGGUUUUAUGCAUGGAAGGCCUUUUGCUAGUUGGAAGCAACGAGUUCCGUGGUGGUUCUUUUACCUAGAAGUUCGGUCCCUUUUGGGCGCCUUGAAUUGUCGUUAGAAUUUUAUUCUAACGGUCAUUUUGAUCAGAACUGGGGCUGGUUUUACAAUUGAACGGCUUGUUCCGACUUUUUUGUUUUUUUGUCCUUUUCGCGAAAAAAUCUCACAAAUAGGUCCCUGGCGAAACCAAUUCCGAAAAUGGACCCUCAGCUUGGCGCCAGGAUGGCUGGCGUCAGGAUGGCUGGCGCCAAGGUAUAACGUCUUGGCGCCAGCCGUCCUGGCGCCAAGGUCCCUCCGCCGUGCCUCCGACGUGGCGCCGUGGACGCUGACGUGGCCCGAGGCUUGGCGCCAAGAUCCAUGGCGCCAAGCCCCCUACCACAUAUAACACCCCUUCUUCCUGCCCGAGAGUUCCUCCCUCGUUAUUCUCUACUCUCUCAGGUUUUUACUCUCCUUACUUUGCCCUAGACUACGAAUCGACAUUGUAGCUUAGGAAACUUUCAUUUGAUCCGUGGAUCCUGAAGAGCAAGGUAUCCUCUCUCCGUCGUACCUUUUUUUCACAUCGAUUCGUCUUGCAUUUUUGAACUUAGGGUUUCAUGCAAAUGUAGGAUGCCGAGGCGUGGAAAAGCUAAGAAACUAAGGUAAUCUCAACGCCCGUAGUUAUGUUAUGUACUCAUUGUUGUGGAUGAAAUGAAAAAACCUUAAUUGUAGGUUUAUUCUUAAGUGCGUUUGAUUCAUAGAACCAAAUAAACAAAAUUGUAGUUAUGGCGCAAAGAAGACCGGAAAUGCGUUCGAUCCAUUGCCUCUGCCAAGUGGUGUUCCAGUGCCGAUGUGCUUUUGCGGCGAUCCUUGCAAGGUAGCCAAGUCCGAAGAACAUGCCACGUAUAGGCAGAGGUAUUGGAUGUGUUCCAACUUUGCGUUUGAACCUACACUUCGUCAGCGCCGCAUUAACAUGUUGGUAAGGAAAUGUUGUUGUCUUAUAAUUAUUGUCCAUAAUUUUUUUGUUUUAUAACAAUUGCAUUUGUUGUAGACCCCUCCACCGCUAUGUGAUUUUGAGCAGUGGAUCGACACUGAGAUCGAUCCUGAAGACAAGGAGUUUUUGGAGUAUAUGAUGCGCUGGGAUGCAGAGAGGAAGGAGGUGUACGAGAAGAGGCUCGUAGAGGAGGCUGCGGAAAAGGAGCACAAGGAAGAGGAGGAAAGGAGGCGGGUUGCUGCGAAUAGGGAGGAGAGAGAGAAGAAGCUUGAGCGGGCACGCCGAGCGAAAGCAGCGGUUGAAGAGAAUCCCGAUGCCUUAAGGAAGAGAAAGUGGCCUCGUUGCACUCAGUAGCCAUAUUUAGGUUCUAGUUCUAUGGUUUAUUUACAAACAAUAUUUUCUACUGUGAGACUUUUAUUAUGUUGUCAUGUAAUAAUGCACUUUAAGUAAGGACACGCAAUUUGUAGACGAUAUAUGUUCAUUUUGCGAUGUAAUGCAUUUCGAAGUCGUAGUCUACUGAAAUAUCCGUAGAAAAUAAAAAUGGUACUUGUUAGCGAAAUUUCAGCAGAAUUUCCCCUACUUGUUGAUGCAAUCCAUACAAAAUUACGAGAUGAAUAGUGAAUAUAAAUACAAGCAUAGAAGCAUAGAAGCAUAUGACACAAGCAUAUGACACAUUCAGAAUAGAAUCCACAAUAGUUCAGAAUGAAAGUCCAUAUAUAUACAAAUAGUCCAUAUGAUACAAAGUUCGCAAUCAGAAUCGUCACUGCCUCCUAGUCUUACCCUUACCCUUGUGACCAAGGGCGUCGGUGCCUGGAGUGUAAGGAGAACGUGGACGACGUAAUCUAGUGCCCCCUACAACCUGUGUAGGCUGAGUCAAGGGAGCCUCCUGGAGCUGAGACGGGCCAAUCUCCUCGGCCCUCUGCUCAUCGUCGUCGUCAUCGUCGUCGUCGUCGACUUCCUCGGAUGCAAUUGAUUUGGAACCUGAGGGGCCUUGGCUGGACGUACCGACGCCUCCUUCGCGCAGGGAUGGAACGUGCACGUCUCGCGUCGUGGCAGUCCUGCAACCACAACGAGCAGCGGCACGGCGAAGCCGAUUUGACAAUCGCUGCAGUAGUAAAAACAAGUUACACAAAUGAAGAAUGUAACGUAUUAAUAAAGUAUUAGAAAGAAUAAUUUGAGACUUACCUCUAGGAAGCUCCCAAUCUCGGGGUCCCUAACUCGUGGACGGAUAUGCUCUAUAUCUCUAACCGAGCUUUGUAGGGUACGCCCCUGCAACAAAUGACUAAGUCACUAAAGCAAUAAAUGACUAAGUCACUAAAUGACUAAAUGAUUAAGUUAGAUGAUCACUAAGUCCUUAUCUAACUAACUAAAUCUGUAAGUAACUUAACAUAGAACAUAGAAAAGUGAAGCAAUUGUCUUACCAUCCUAUCCAGGAUUGGUCCUGCCUCCACCUGCCUUCCCGCACGAGUACUCUGAUCGUACACUGUGUCUUCAUCGUCGGAUGACUGGAUAUCGGCGUAGUCAUCUUGCGUCCACGCUUCCCUCAGCCUGUGCCGCGUCGCACCAUGGUACCAGCUCUGGUAUUGUCUGUACGCACUGUUUGUGUGCGGCUCGUUGUUCUCGUCCACGUUCUCCUCGAACAGGUCCCAUUCCUGAAUGUAUGCGUGGUGGAACGCGGCCCACUCGGAGACCUUCCUUUUCUUCUUUCGAUCCACGCUGCACGUCACGUUACACGUUACUGUUAGCCAAAAUUUAGUUAAUAGUAUUGAAAUAUAUGAAAUAGGAAAAGACUUACUUGUGUAACUCUAUACUAGUCGAGGUCGCCUGUGGUGGCCAAAUCUGCCUCAUCCCAAAUUGACGUGCGACUCGAUGUGGCAGGUGGUACUCGACAGCAUAGAAGCAAAUAAGAGGGCACACCAUCCUAUAAAUAUCAUCGUCCGUCGCACACAUGAAGCUAAGGGGAAAAGGAAGUGGAUCGUCUCCGUCGUAAGGCUGCCAAUUUACCUGCAAAAUUUGAACCAAAAACGUUAGUUGUUAUACUAAAAGAUUACAAAACAAUUCUAAAAAAAAUCACUUACACUAUGAGCAGUGAGCGCGUCUAUCUCGUUGAUGUAAUCAAGGUACGCGCGGUCCAACCUCGUAUGGCUAACCUUAACCUGAUCCCAAAUAUAUGCCCAUGUCGGCUGUCGUCUCGGCGGCUCACCUGGGAACCACGGUCGACGCGGCAUAAUCUCGGGCCGACCAACAGGAAGACGGGACCACAUCCAUAAUUGCAACAGGUAGACACACCCACCAACUGACGGGGAGCCCGUAGUCCGACGGCACGCCUCGCACAGCUGCCGGUAUAGAAAGCACAACACAGCUGAUCCCCAGCUGUAAAAACCAGCCUGGUGCCAGUCAGUGAGGCAGUGGAUCCACAUCCAAGACGCUGUGUCACCUGUAGCGUCUGGGAAAAGAACACAGGCAAAGAGGUGUAGUAUCCACGCCCUGCAGUAGUGCCCAACUGUCUCAACAUCCGCGUCCUGGGGACAGUGGCCGAAGUGUUCCCGCAGCCAUGAGAUUAGCACUCCAGAUGUGCGAGUCCCCUGCUCCUCAACCUCUCGCCUCAGGAAGGCUGCGACUCGUGCUCUCCAACCAUCUGAGACGCACGGCCCAUUGACUGGCUGGCCCCGAAUCGACAGACCCAGCAUCUUCUGACAGUCCUGUAAGGUCACUGUCAUCUCUCUGAACGGGAGGUGAAAGCUGUGAGUCUCGGGUCGCCACCUACAUUUCGCCAGAUUAUUAUUUGAUAACAUGUAAAGACAUAACAAAAUGAAUAUGAUUAGUGGUAACAGUACCUGUCAACCAACGCAGUUAUAGCCGCUGAAUUGAACUUGGGCAUCCCACGACGAACCUGAUACGAGAUGACAUCUAGGCCAGCCAUCUGUAGCAAAGGAGUGUAGCGGUCGUCGUACUGCAGCACCACAAACCCAUCAUGAGCUCUAGAACGAAGGAGCGGAAGGACCUGCAUGCAAAUAAACCGAGUCAGAGAUUUCAUAGGACACAAGACGUGGACGCUCGCAAAGCUUUAAUCAUGAAUUGUAAAUUAUUACCUGCCCUCCCGCUAUAAGACGACCUCGGUGGGUCUGGUCGUAAGCCUGGUCUAGAAGGUGGAAGUGCGCCAUCCUACAAAAAGGCAAAAAGAAAUAAGAUUAGUAAACAAUAAAUCAUGAAGUUAGAGAUGUAGAAACACAACCUGUAUGAAUAAAACACAUAUCAAGUAACGAAAAGAGCUACUAGUCGCACCUCACUAAUUUGCCAACGGCAAGUGCGUGAAUUAUGACCCAAUCUGCCGCACUUGCCGCACUCGUUCUGUUCUGGAUCAGCAAGAAAUGGUGUUGCUCUACCACGCCUCGUUCUUCCGGAUACCUGAUCCAUAGUCAUGUUAUGCCUCGUCCGCUUCCUUGUUCCACGUUUGUUCCAACGGUAUGCAGGAUCCGCAACAUAUUUUGGCCCAUCAUACGGAGGCCACUCUCUAGGAUCCCGGAAAGGCACGAAGCGGGGGCUCCAUGUCCGCACAAGGUUGCUUACGCUGAACUCAUGUGGUAUCAUGCUCUCGAUAUCAAAAUUGCGAUGCCUAGCUGCUGCCACCAAAUGAGAACAUACGAAGUGGUACUGCCUUGGCCUACCACAAGUGCACUUGAAAUCUCGGAGAACUACCAAAUGUAUCCUCGACUCUCGGAUCUCACCGUCGGACGUUGUACCGCCCCUAUGCUCCACCUGAUAAGUCCCUGAGCCGAGAUCAAAACAUUGCACCUCAUGUGUGGAAUCCCUUUCAUUUGCAAUGAUGAGAUGUCUCUUUGGUUUUUCAGCCCAUCUCUCCCCAGCAACCUGCAACGCUUCUGCUUUUGCGUGUCUUUCAUUGAACCACGCAACAAGCCUGUAGAAGGUGAAUUCAACGAUUGCGUUCACAGGCAUACCACGUAUCCCCAAUAACAACUUAUUGAAUGACUCGGCCAUGUUACUGCACUGAAACUCGUACCUCCAACCACCGGCGUCGUGAGAUCUAGUCCACUUAUCUAAAUCUCUCAUCAAACCAGCGAGCCAUUGUCGACCUUCUGCAUUUGUUGCGGUCCUUACCUGCUCCAAUUUGCGCUGAAAGUAAUAGUCCUCAAGCUGACGUGCUGCAACUUGAAACAGAUCAAAAUUAUCCUUCACACCAUCCUUCCGAAGAAGGUUCUCCGCAAGGUGCCGAGUGCACCAACGAUGAUGCAAAGGUGCAUAACCCUCUAUCUGUUCUUGCACAGCAUGAAGUAUGCCCUGAUGCCUAUCGGAUAUGACGCCAACCUCCCUACCAGGACCAACCACAUGUAUCCGGACUAGUCUUAAGAACCACCCCCAACUGUCAUUGUUCUCCCUCUCAACCAAUGCAAAUGCCAAAGGAACCAACAUAUUGUUCGUGUCACAAGAUAUGGCUAUAAGAAGUGUGCCUCUAUAUUUGCCAAUCAAAAACGUACCAUCAAUAGAGAAAACAGGACGACAGUGCCUAAAGGCUUCCACAGACUGAGGGAAGCACCAGAACGCACGCCCGAAUAUCUGUCUCCCGUCCUUCCAAGCAUUUGGCUUUGGGAUGUACUCAUAAUGCAUGCCUGGAUUCACCGCUUUAAUUGCAUUAAAAAGCACUGGCAGCUCCUCGUAUCCAGACUCCCAAUCCCCAUAAAUCAUCCUCCACGCUCGCUGCUUAGCCCUCCAAGCUUUACCAUAAGUUAUCACAUAUCCUCCAUAAAUCUCCUCAGCAGUUCUUAUAAUUGUUCUCACUUUCAUGUUCGGUUGUUCCUUCAAUAUUCCCAUCAACCGCUUCGCAAUGAGGGUAGAUGUUAGCUGCGGAUGUCUCACUGUAAGCUCAUGGUCAGCACAAUUGUGUGGACCGACAACUUUUGUGAUCUUCCACUUCCCGGUGAUAUUUUGCUUUCUUGCACAAACCCUCCAUGGACACCGUUCCUUGUCACACACAACUGUGUAACGGCGCUCCGCAUAUGAAUGCAACACUUUGUACGGUCUCUUCCGUAUCACCGCAAAAGCUUGCAACCAUCUCUUCAAUGCGGGAAGAUCCUUAAAUACCCUACCCUCCUCAAUAACCAUAUUAGGACCAGCUUCAGGAGCUUCUAGGAGCUCAUCAUCACGUCCUUCUGCAAACGCCUGAUCGGAAAGACUCAGGUCGCUAAACUCGUUAACUAUCGGAUCACGACGUCCGGGGAAUAUACGCCUGAACAUCUCAAUAUCACUCUCUGUCAUCUCUCCAACAGGACGAUCAUCAUCAGAAUCAAGAUCCACUCCCAUCUCGUAUGCAUCUUCAUCAUUCAAAAUUUCAACACUAUUAGAGCCACGCAAUCCAUCUCCACAUUGCACUUGCGCAUCAACUAGAGGCACAUCCACAUUUUCUGGAAUAUCUCCUGCGCCAUCAAGUACAAAUAUGAGUAAAGAAUAAGUGGAUGGAACAAAUGGAUUAUCUCUCAUCAAUAGAAACCGGUUAGACACUUACUCGGAUCAUUCUGAGUGAAAAGAAACUCAUUAGGAGAGUCCGCCACAUCAUCAACAAUCCGACAACCAUGGCCAACUACUUCAUUAGGGGCAGAUUCAGCAUUGGGAAUAGUAGGUGCAACAUCCACAUCCAUAACAGGUUCUGGGACGGGAGGAUCGAAAUGUGCCCGUUCACCCAUUGGUCGGGAAAACCGACGAGGAUUUCGAUCAACUCUCACCGGACGAACAACCACUUCAACACUUGGGAAAUGACCAUUCAUAACCGUCCUCACAUAUUUCUCCCACUGACCUGCACACCGAAUUGGGACCAUCUUCCUUUGAAUGUUGAGAGGGGAACCUAGGUGAAGUAUGCCCUCGACUGUGAUUUCAUCAUUUUCAUGACAAUGUAACUCCUCCCGAGCCCUAGCAACCAACUCACUAAACGAUGGUUUCUCAUCGAAUAUGACAACCUCGCACUGCAUGCCAACAAACUUAACACAUCCAUAUUCAUCCCUUUCCACAGUGCCUCCGUAAUAUAUGCUCACUACGUUCUCCAUCUAGUAUAUCAAUAUAAUGACGCACAAUUCAUUUAGUCCAUAAUAAAUUAAACAUUCUAAGUCUAGUAUGAAAUCAGAUAGUAUCAAUUGACUACUAACUAGUAAAUACAACUAACUAACUAUGUCACAUAUACUAACUAACUAUGUCACCUAAUAUGUACAUACGUACUUACCUAUACAACUACUUAACUAAAUAUCGUAAUAACUAGUUUACUAUGCUAUAAGUUAUCAUAUCUAACAAUUAUAUCUAUCUGUCAACUUAUCUAUCUACCUAUUUUAUCUAACAAUUCUACCUACCUAUCUAAAUUUUACCUAACUACUAUGCUAUUAGUUAUCAUAUCUAACAAUUAUAUCUAUCUGUCAACUUAUCUAUCUACCUAUUUUAUCUAACAAUUCUACCUACCUAUCUAAAUUUUACCUAACUAUUCUAAUUUAUCAAUAUUACUAUCUAUCUACAUUAUACAACAAUUAUACAACAACUAAUACCUUCGAUCGGCCGGGAGCGGGCACACAACGGGGGGCGGCCGGCCACAGUCCACGGCGGGCGCUGGAGCCCGGCCGGGGGGCACCGGCGAGCGGGGAGCCCGGCCGGGGGGCGGCCCUCCGGGCGGGGCGGCCGGGCGGGCGCGCGGGGCCGCCGGGCGGGCGCCGGGCGGGCGCCGGGCGGGGCGCCGGGGCCGCCGGGAGGGGCGGCACGUCGGGCGGGCGCCGGGAGGGGCGCCGGGGCCGCCGGGCGGGGCGGCGCGUCGGGCGGGCGCCGGGGCCGCCGGGAGGGGCGGCGUGUCGGGCGGGCGCCGGGCGGGGCGGCGCGGUGGACGACUACGGAGCGGGCGGGCCGGCACGAGAUGUGAGCGAGAUGCAAAAUCAAACGGCGCAAAAGGAAGGGGGCCCGUUAUGGUUGAAGGCUUGGCGCCACAGAUCUUAGCGCCGAGGCCUGGCGCCGAGCCUUGGCGCCACAGAUCUUGGCGCCGAGGCUCGGCGCCAUGGAUCUUGGCGCCAAGCCUCGGGCCACGUCAGCGUCCACGGCGCCACGUCGGAGGCACGGCGGAGGGACCUUGGCGCCAGGACGGCUGGCGCCAAAACGUUAUACCUUGGCGCCAGCCAUCCUGGCGCCAAGCUGAGGGUCCAUUUUCGGAAUUGGUUUCGCCAGGGGUCUAUUUGUGAGAUUUUUUCGCGGAAUUGGUUCCAUGUUUUUCCCUAUCUCCAGGGGGUGUUUGGAUACUAUAUGUUAAAUUUUAGCAGUGUCACAUUGGAUGUUCGGAUACUACUAAUGAGGAGUAAACAUGAGCUAAUUAUAAAACUAAUUGCAGAACCCCUAUACUAGUUCAUGAGACGAAUCUAUUAAGCCUAAUUAAUCCAUCAUUAGCAAAUGGUUACUGUAGCACCACAUUGUCAAAUCAUGGACUAAUUAGGCUUAAUAGAUUUGUCUCGCGAAUUAGACUCCAUCUGUGCAAUUAGUUUUGUAAUUAGCUUAUAUUUAAUAAGCCUAAUUAGCAUCCAACGUCCGAUCAAACGGGACCCUAGUUAUCGUCUGAGGUUAUAUAAAUUUUUUGUAGCUGAUUGAAAAUUUGAAAUUAUUGAUUGAUGAUUCCCCUUGUUGUUAGCAACAUCAUCAAUAAUAGGCCAAGAAACAAAUAGAUAGCAUCACUCCUUUUCAAAAGCAGCCACUCGUUGUUAGCAACAUCGUCAAUGAAUUAGUGAGGUGGCCAAGUCGUUAUCGUUAUCAAUAAGCUAAGUGCAUCCGCACACGGCACACUUAAAUAAUAGGCAUAUCUAAAACGUGUUUGACAUUUUUCUAAGGAGGUUCGACAAGUACAAAAGUAUUCCCUCCGUCCCAAAUUACUAUUCAUUUUGACUUUUCUAGAUAUAAAUUUUUUACUGCGUAUCUUGACAUAAUAUAUAUAGGUGCAUAGUAAAAGUUAUAUAUCUAAAAAGUCAAAAUAAUAGUAAUUUGGGAUGGAGGGAGUAUUGACUAAAGGGGCAACGUUUAGUCGAUAUGUGUAUAUGGCGAAAGCAAAGCAUUCAGUUUUCAUGACUGAAGUACUUGACAUCGGUGUGCUCCCAACCCUUGUGAUAAUUGAAUAUGCUGAGCAUAUGUGACAUAACAUGAUAUCUAAAGUACUUUAUUUCUCCUUGUCUAUCCUUUGGAUGUAGUGCUUUUUGUAAGAGGUCAACGGUGGAAUGAGCUUAGCGUUCCCACCUGAGAUUUAAUGAUAAAAAAAACUCAAAGUAAAAUUGGCAAAAGUUUACGCAACGGUUUUGAAUACUUGCUCUAACAUCAGAAAAGUUGUGUUGUGACAACUGACAAGGAAUGGAGGUAUAAAGAGAGAUGGGAGAGCAAAUGCAUUUUUUUUUAUCCGAUUAGCAUGUCAUGACUCAUGAUGUGGUGUGUAAUGACGUGCAUGCAAAUGAUUCAAUUCAACAAGCGCCAGCCCGAGCUCACAGUAUUCAUCUUCUUCCACGCGCAUCGCCACACUCACAGCGGACACACAAACGAUGCGCAGAACAUCCAGGGAAACAGGGCGGCACCACGGGUUCACAAGACCGCGCUUGUAUUGUUUCGUCCGCGUAACCGCGUUCAUCUUCAUCGCCAGUGAACAACGACGUGCUCCAGCUGUUCCCUCGCGGCCUCGCAACCAAAAAAAAAAGUGCUCCAGCGUGCUGCGUACGUACCGCCGUGUGUGUAUGCGCCACGGUGCUCCUCCCUUUCGGCGAACCAAAGCCAGAAGCCCAGAACUAGCAGCGGCACGCAUCGUCGCAACCUCAUUGCGCGCAUCAGCUGGCAGCAGCGCACGGCGGGCGGCCAGUGCUUGCUGCCAGCUUCCUCGUCCCGUUCAAGAACGCCGGUGCGCGAGGACGGCGUUGCCGUGGGCCGUGCCCAUCUGCCUGUCCAGCUUCGCGGCCAUGGAAAGGUUCGUGGAGGAGAAAUGGGCGAGCUCCUCCGCCCACCCAUCGACGCCGCGGCGGCGUCUCCCAUCGUCAGGUCCGCCGCCCCCUCCCAAGUCUGAACUGGCCGAGCGGACGUAACGCGUUUGAUCGAAUAGCCGACGUCCUCAUUUGUUUCACAAAAGAAAAGUUCAAUUCUUUGGGCUGGGCUGCCGUUGUGCUACUUGUCGGUCAAUGGGCUUUUCCCCCUUGUGUCUGGUCUCAAAAAGGACUUGCUGCUCCUCUUUAAAAAAAAGAAACAGAAAAGACUUGCUGCCAGGUCAGUUCGAAACAGCGAGAGCCGAAGCUGCCGACGGCGACAUGCAUGACAGACAUGGGACCGUAUAAAUGAGAGCAUGUUUGUUUCUUUAGCACCUCAAAAUUCCUGUCACAUCGAAUGUUUAGAUACUAAUUAGGAGUAUUAAAUAUAGGCUAAUUACAAAACCAAUUGCACAGAUGGAGACUAAUUUGCGAGACGAAUCUAUUAAGCCUAAUUAGUCCAUGAUUUGACAAUGUGAUGCUACAGUAAACAUGUGCUAAUGAUGGAUUAAUUAGGCUUAAUAGAUUCGUCUCGUGAAUUAGUCUCCAUCUAUAUAAUUAGUUUUAUAAUUAGCUCAUAUUUAGUCCUCCUAGUUAGCCUUCAAAUAUUCGAUGUGACAUGAAUUUUAGUCACAACUAAAGAUCCAAACACCCCCUGAUUCUAGAUGCCCUAAAAAAUUUAUAUAAACGACUCUCUAACGGCAUGUUCGCUUCAGCUUAUUCAGUCAGCUUAUCAGCCACCAAACAGUAUUUUCCUCUCACAACAAAUCAGUCGUUUCAACUUUUCAGCUGGUUUAUAAGCUGAAGCGAACAGGUCUAAGUUUUUAGCAAAAUCAUUUGGUUUUUGCUUGAGGGGGGAGGGGGAGGGAGAGCAGUAACCGGAAAGAAAGCCGAAGAGGACACAGGAGAAAUUCCGCAGUAUCACCAUGGCCAUUGGCCAUUGCCACGCGCUCCCUUGUCCGAGCAUGAUGGGUGUUGGCCAACGGCCAUUCAAGAACAGCUACAGAUGGGCCUGAUAGCUCCAUUGGAACAGCAUCACUAUUCAUUUUUUUAAAAAUAAAAAUAAAAAUAGCAUCACUAGUAUCCAAAAGCGCCGUCCAUGGGCUACUAGUGUAUGUCUUAAAGAAGACAACAAGAAGCACUGCGUACUUAAAAACCUUUUAAAAGAAAAAAUAGUUAAAGUGUCACUGUGACCCCAAAGGCUGUGGCUGUCGUCAGCUACACCGUCAACACGAAUGUUCUAGAGGCUGGCUGCCGCGCUAACAGUACCAUUUUUGUGAAACAAAGCGCAGAAGGGUCUCGCAGCACUUCUUGUUCGAUGAACACUCAAUAUGGCAAAUAGGAGUACGUAGGAGACUAGGAGUGAUGCAGUUACACCCUGUUGGUAAUUCUAGAGCCUUCGUUGAAUCCUUCAAUUCCCACUUGGCAUCAAUCGUGUGCAGAGUAGAACUCUUUCCAACUUGCAAGUAAAUCCUUGCACAAAUACAAAUCUUCAAAAUGUAUUUGUGCAAAUUAUAUACCUGCAAAGAAAAGGCAAAUCAUAUGUACGGAGUGCUAGCAAAAAUUUCGAGAGGCUCGCCUAAACGAGACGGAUCAGGGUCCCCGGAUCCGAGGCGAUUCGAUCACCCAAGAUACACCUCGAGAUCUCCGCUGCACCCCGACUCAUCAUGGAGUCAUGGGUCUGACUGAACUCGCGGACCCACUCGUCAGGCUACCUACGCCACUUCUGACGUCCCCGGAAAGAGCUCACCCCUUUUACGCCUCAUCAGUCUCCCCUUUAAAAGCUGCGGAUAUUUUGCUCCGCCUCCUCCGAUCCCUUCCCCUCCCACACUAGGAGCCCGAAAAGACCAGACUACCCCCCGCUCCCCCGGAAGUCAGAGUGGGGGACUGGGAGAGGACGAUAGGAUAGCGCAUCGUCGUCGCACCUGUCGCCGGCGAGCCAGACCGGAGCGAAGCAGGCAGCGAUGGCGGUCGCGGAGCUGUGGGAGACGCUGAAGCAGGCGAUCGUGGCGUACACGGGGCUGUCCCCGGCGGCCUUCUUCACGGCCGUGGCGGUGGCGGCCGCGCUGUACCACGUCGUGUCGGGGCUCUUCGCGCCCCCGCCCCCGCCGCCGCCGCGCCCGCGGGAGGAGCCCGAGGCGGAGCCGCUCCCGCCGCCCGUGCAGAUGGGGGAGGUCUCAGAGGAGGAGCUCCGCAAGUACGACGGCUCCGACCCGAAGAAACCGCUCCUCAUGGCCAUCAAGGGCCAGAUCUACGACGUCACGCAGAGCAGGUCUGUUCCCUGCACCAAAACCCUCACUCCCCUCCUGUUUCGAUGCAUCCGUCGUUUUGUUCUAAGGCUUAGAUUUUGCUAGCUGCCCGAUUCUACUGUAGCCGAGUCCGUGUAUGAUUGUCGAUCGAUUGGGUCGUAUACAAGAAACAGCUGAUACUACUUGUUACUUAUGAUUUUUUAUGAGGUCGCAUAAUUGCCGUGUUUUGUUGUGUAGUCAGUACUAUUUCCGUGACCUGACUGAGUAGGGUUGCCGAUUAGCACAUAACGAUUAAGCCAUCAAUUCAGUGAUAGGAAGCUACUUCUUGCCCAAGUUUUCCAAUGCAACUGUAGAUUUGUCUUUACCGAUGAUUGGAGUGAUCCGGAUGAUAUAUUUCCUUGAGUUUAUGUGAGGCAAUUGAAUGUCUUGUCGUAUUUGAGGUCUUUGAACUGGUUGUUUCCAUCUUCCUGGCUGACAAGAGUAAUCCAGGUAAUAAAUUCUGCUGGAAUUUCUCGUUAAAUGUUUUGUCUCUAUUGGGGUUUCAGUUGCGUGGGUGCAUCGAUUGGUUGAAACAAGAUAUGGAAACUACCUAUCAAUUGCACUUUUGUUUGUUAGUAAUGAUUUACCGUGUUGAUGAUUUGUAACGCUUGUAACCGUCUGGUAUUUCUGCUCAUCAAGUUCAAAACAUUGCUAUUUACAGAAUUUAUGGGUAAUGUUUGAUUGAUUGCUAGUUGUGUAAUAUGAAAUCCCACAAUGCUAGCUAGGGGAUGAUAAGUUCUUGUAGUGGGUGGAAUCGCGGGCUCACAGCGGACAUUUGGGGUCUUGACAUCAAUUCCAUAAUGCUUGUUGGGGUUGUUUUUCCUGCCUUUUUCUUCGUACAAACUUUGGAUGUUUAUAAAGCUUGAUAUAUCGUAAUCAUUUGUAUACUUGAUUAUAAUCUUUUUAGUACCUGUUGACUGUGUGCCAGCUGGGGCUUUAGAGUUGCAAGUAUAUUUGGUAACGAUCGCCUGAUUGAAUAUAGAGAUCCCAUGUUUAUAAUAAGUGAGAAUACCAAAUGUUUAGCAGGCUAGCAGCUGUGCCUGAAUGCUGGAUGUGCAGAAGCCACUUUCACUAUGUGCUUUUCAGUCGGCAAUUGAAGAAUUAGUGAAAGUUGUUUCCCCCCUUUCCUGUUCCUGUAUUUUGUAAUAUUCUGGUGGUUAGGUACAGGAAUGGAAUAAGAUUUGUGAUUGCUCUUUAUCUAUCCCUUGGUAUGCGAGAUGUGGUUGCUGGUUUACCCCUUUUUUGUGGGCAGAUGAUAAUAUUUUUAAGUUCUUGGAUCUGCUAUAUCAUAUGCAGGUCUAUCCUCAAAAGUGCACGCACUAUCCAUCACAAUCAUUUCUGUAUUGCACCGCUGUCCAUGCAAAACACAUGCAGCCUUUUUGGUGAGGGGUCAUGUUACAUGAUGCAUGCAUACUGUAUUCAAGAAUAGCUGUGCUAAUUUUGAUAUGUUUGGAUUAAUUUGUGCCCAGAAAUGCGAUGUGAAGUUCUCUUACAUAUUGAUUCUUAUUUAUUUCCACAUUUUACUUACAUAUUGCAUUAUAUAAUUAUUUUGUUUGUUUUACUGUCACUACGCAGGAUGUUCUAUGGACCUGGUGGACCUUAUGCUCUAUUCGCUGGUAAAGACGCCAGCAGAGCCCUAGCCAAGAUGUCCUUCGAGCCACAGGACUUGACCGGUGACAUCUCUGGCCUUGGUCCCUUUGAGCUGGACGCCCUGCAGGACUGGGAAUACAAGUUCAUGAGCAAGUAUGUGAAGGUCGGUACUGUCAAGAAGACCGUCCCUGGUGAAGAGGGCAACACCGCAAGCUCAGCUGCUGAAACCAGUGAGACCGCCGCCGAGGCACCAGCAACCGAAGAGAAGCCGAGGGAGGUAGCUGCGGAGGAGGUGAAGGAGAAGGAAGCUGCCGCUGUCGAAGGAGCCAAGGAAAGCUAGAGCGUUUCAGAGCUCCCUGCAUAUGCUGCAAUAAAUGGACAUGUUGGAUGUCAGGGCCCUGCCGUCCUCUUGUCAGUGACAUAGGCUGUGUAAUCUGGAUAUGUGAUCUGUACCAGCUCCAUGGCCCUGGAGGUGCUGGUGAUUUAUAUUAUAGUCGGUCAUUGGGAAUUUGGAGUACAAAGACAUCCGGCUGUGCACCCCCUACCUCUGUUAAUGUAGUAAUGUACUCAAUCGUGUCGUGGAUAAUAGGCGCUCUUGUAAGAUAGUUUCAUGCGCUGCAUUUUCUUUCCCCCAUACAAAGCAGAGAAGCAGCAUCCAUGAUUUGGGUUGGAAUGCAAAAACUUGUGAUAUGGGUUCCUUGCGAGAUUCCACCACAUGGGAAUCUUGUGGAAAUCAUGCGUCGUGAAAAUUCUUGUCAAGAAGACUGACGCUGGGUCAAAACCACGCAUGGGAAAGUUCAUGUUUGGCAUUGUCAAUUCAACAUACGACAAAGGAGCGGUCUCUGUUUGAAUUGAUGUAGAUAUUAUUGAUACCGAUGGCACCCCUUCCCCGAAGUUACGCUAGUCCUGUGCAGUGUCGCCAAAGUCCGUGGCCAGUACUGCAGAUAUACUCUUAUGUUCUCCUUUUUAUGUCAAUAUUUUCUGUGAACAGAUCAAUCGUAAAUAUUUUUUUGAGAUGAUCAGUAAAAUGUUUUUCGAACAAAUGUAGAUGCGGCACGUACUUGGGAACGAACCCGACGUCAAAGAAAAAGGAAGCAGAGGGGUUAGGUUCCUUUCUUGGGCUUCUACGCGCUAUUCUACUUGUGGGCCUUUACACCCGUUAGGUUUCGGCCCAUCACAGGCCAGUGCCCGAUCGACAGAGAGUUCGCAGCAGCGCGUGUAGCCGUUUAGCCCCACCUCGCCCAGCCAGACCGAACGAAGGCGUCAGCUCGCUAUACAAUCCGACCCAGGGCUCCGUUCCAAAGCAUACCUUUCUCGGCCUUUUGGCUAAGAUCAAGUGUAGUAUCUGUUCUUAUCAGUUUAAUAUCUGAUACGUGGGCCAUGCGCCCACUUCGAUAUUAAAUUUAUUUUUUGUGGGGGAGGGUCCAUCACAGUGGCUUGCCACUGGGUCCCUCGAGCGUCGCCUAGGCGUUGCACUGCUGCUCAGGCCUGGCGCACCCCAACCAAUUCUAAAUCAAAUUUUGGUUUCUGAUCACUCGCAAAGAGUGUGAACGGCAAUUGUGUGAAAGGUGCUGCUUCAGUUGAAUUAAAGAGGGAAGCAGACAAGAUCUUUCCUGCUGGCAGCGGGUGUUCAGUAGUCACUGUUCUGAAUGGCGUCUUGCUCCGUCGUGACCGCACCGGCGCUCUCCGCCUCGUCUCCGACCAGCCGGCGGCGUGCGACUGCGGCCGUAUCUCUCCCUGGUGUUCGCCGCAGCCGGCUCCCGUCACGGGGCGUGCGGUGUAGCGCCGGGCAGGGCGGCGUCAAGGUCCCGGCGAAGCGUAAGCUCCUGCACUGAAGCCUCAAUCUCUCGCGUGGAAUUCGCCUCCGAAAUCUGACGGUUUUGACGGGGUGGGUGGGUGCCGCAGUGGCGGAGCUGUGGGAGGCCGCGAAGGGCGCGCCGCCUCUCGCCGUGCUCGCCGGCGUGGCUGCGGCGGUGGCGAUCUACAAGGUUGGGUCCGGUCUCCUUGCGCCGCGCCCUCCCCAACCCCAGCGGCUGGAGACCAAGACGGCCCCGCCGCCUCCAGUGCCGGAGCCGGUGCAGGUGGGUGAGAUAACUGAAGAGGAGCUGAAGCAGUACGACGGGUCCGACCCCGAGAAGCCACUGCUGAUGGCCAUCAAGGGGCAGAUCUAUGACGUCUCCCAGAGCAGGUUGCUUCCUUGAUUCCAUCAAACCUGAGCCUCUAAUUCUUCAUUCAUCCCGUUGCAACGUUGCUCUGCUUUUCAAUGGUCGUUUAUGGUUGUUGCUUCUAAGUUUAUUCAGAGUUUUGUUCUGAUCGACUGUUCAAUGAUAGUUAUUCAAUGGUUCAUACCCUUAAUUUGUAGAACUUGCUGCUGUAGACAACAACGCCACAUGAAAAAUAAGAAGCAGUGCUCUUAAUUUGAAGAGUUCUUUUGCCCUACUUUGUGAAAUGAAGCAGGCAAUGUUCUGAAUUUGGGAUGUCAAAAAACUGUACGUUGUGACCAAGUGGAUUGAGAGUAUGUUUGAAAUGUCUUUGUUUUGGUGAGUGGAUUUUCAGUAUGCUUUCUGUCCAGUCAAAACUGAUGUCGUGCUGUCAUGCAAUUCUGCAAAUACAAUGCAAAUUGUAUUGUGAUGGAGGUUCUGAUGCUUGGCAUGUAGGUUCAGUCAUUGAGUGUAAAUCUACAUGGUAUGUCUUGGAUUGAUCUGGGUUCAGUCAUUGAGCUAAUCCACAUAGUGUUUGAUGGUCUUUUUUUGAUCGCACUCAUAGUAAUAGUACUAACACUCUUUGAAUGAUUAAUUUGGUACUGAAUUGUACAAUGCUAUGCCAUGUAUGGGUACCGUACUUUCUUCUCUGAUAUCAGCAGCAAUCAUGUUUUUUUCAUUUUAUUUUCUUGCCAUGCUAUCCUUUGGUUUUAUUGGUAAGAACAUCAGAACAUGUCCUUAUCUUGUGUUCUAUAAAAUCUGAAGCUCACUGGUUUCUCCUCAUAGAUAGUUGAACCAGGGACACUUUUAUUUGGAAACGUGAACUCGUGUGAAAGAUGUGUGCCGCAAUUAGGACGUGUUUAGGACUGUCCCAACAACACCAGCAUAUUCUGCUUAAUUUCUACUGGACAUGUGUUUACCAAUCCUAAAUCUGAUCUUUUUUUCCUGAAGGAACUUAGUUGGUUCACCUUUCUUUUGAUGUGAUAAAUAUCUAAGUCUCAUAUCUCAUUGUCGUCUAACACUCUAACCUAAUAAUUUAUAUUUUGAUCGAAUCAUUACUUUCAUGUGGUACUACUGUAAGCUCUUGGAGAGCAACAAUUCCUCUGAAACGUUAUAAGCUGCACUGGAUUUUUUUUCCCAUUUAGCUUGCUGGAGGAUGAGGCAUGAAUAAGCCUUUUUUUUUUCCGAUGAGAAUAAUUAGAUAACAUACCCCUUGCAGACUUGCAGUUCAAAUAACACGCAAAUACCAUGGAUUUUGUUGUGAACCAUUACAAAAUUUAAAUAUAUUCCUGCACUCCAAUGCAAGGACAUUUGCGUUAAUGUUGUGUCUAUUCAAAGUCUUCAUAUUCACCUACUGUCUUUAUCUUUAAGAUUACACUGUAUUUACCAUGCAUAAUGCAUUGUGUUUGACACUGAUGAUGAGUUAUGACAAUAUCUUUUGCUGUCUGUGAACUCUGCAGAAUGUUCUAUGGACCUGGUGGGGCAUAUGCGUUGUUUGCUGGUAAAGACGCCAGCAGGGCCUUGGCCAAGAUGUCCUUCGAACAGCAGGAUCUAAAUGGUGACAUAUCUGACCUUACACCAAUGGAGUUCAGUUCCUUGAAUGACUGGGAGUACAAGUUCACCAGCAAAUAUGUGAAGGUAGGAACCGUAAGAAGGGCAGCGCCUGCAGAAGAGGGUUAUGCUGGCAUUUCGCCUGAAAUACGGGAGGAAGUUAUGCCUAUGCCUGUGCUUGAGGCUGAGGCUGAGGCUGAGGCUGAGGCUGAGCCUGACCUGGAGCCCGAGCCGAUUGACGACGAAGCACCAUGAAAGGAAACACAGACAUCUGAGCAACGCGGGGAAGAACCAAAUGGAAGCCGGGGCACUACUGAUAGUGUCCCAAAGGGAGUUAGAAUUUAGGAAUAACCGAACGCGGUGCUUCAUGGAUGUUCGGAAGAAAUAGUAGAUGUGUACUCUUCAGUAGGAUGGAAUGGUUGGAUAAGAAUAUAUGAAGAGGUGUUCUAGCUCAGUGAUGUUCAUGUUCAGAAACGAAAAAAGAAAAAAGAUGCACACGUGAUGGAACAACUUAUCUCUUUUCUUUUCUUUUUUCCUUGGCUCACAUAGCUCCAAAAAGACAUUAUCUCCAUUUGAAUCGGGUUUUAAUCUGUCAGCUGCCAACUGUCUAAUUAAACAAUGGUAUGCAGUUGGACCAUACACAGCAACUGAUCAUCAUUCGCUGAUCCCAUACGCAUCAUCAUCUGAUCUUACUCUUCAAACUAACGAGUUUGAUAUGAAUCAGAUGUUAGGUUUUCGACACAUGGUAGUGGCGUGCUGCAACUGCUUCACAAUUAGUACCAGCAGUUUCUGACACGCAUCACUUGAUUCCAUCUCAUAUUGUCUUAAAGAUGGACUGAAGAGACUUCACUAUGACACUCCAGAAUUGUGUGCUCUCCAUAUUUUUGCCUGUUUGGAAUAUCACCAAGUUUGGAGGAAAAUUACCAAUUCCUCUGAAAUUCAGAAUUUUCACCUUGAGCAGUUGAGCUAGAUCCUAGAGGCUCAUCAGAUGCGCAACGGAAUUUUUCGCCUGCCAGAUGCCGAGAUGAAGCAAGCCGGCGGCAGUUCGUUGCAGCAAGGUCUGAUCACGUGAAUCCGACUAAGACUUUCGUCAAUCCUUUUGAGUCCACUAUCCACACAUGGUAGAAGGACUAAACAUAGUCUAAUUACAGAAUUAAUUGUACAGAUGGAGUCUAAUUCGCAAUCUAUCAUUAGCAAAUGGUUACUGUAGCACCAUAUUAUCAAAUUAUGGACUAAUUAGCACCAUAUUAUCAAAUUAUGGACUAAUUAGACUUAAUAGAUUCGUCUCACGAAUUAGACUCCAUCUGUGCAAUUAAUUUAGUCAUUAAAUUAUGUUUAAUAUUUCUAAUUAGUAUUAAACAUGUGAUGUGACAUGUGCUAAAGUAACUAGGCUCCUCCUCUUUCCGAGUGCAAUGUAUAGUCCUUCUCGGUAAUCGAAGAGGAAAUACUUGUGAGCUUGUGGGCCUUGUGGCAAUGAAAAGAACCGAAAAGAAGAAGCGGCAUCGAUGUUGUCUUGGGCUCUGACGGGCUACUUCUUUCGUGGGCCUUACAAGGAGAGGGGGAAACGCUCUCGCUGGGCCUCGGCGUAUUACAUGCACUCGACCGGCAUGGGCAUGGAACAUGCAGCGUGCCAGCGCGAGUAGCCGUUUAGUCCCACCUCGCCCAGCCAGACCGAACGAAGGCGUCAGCUCGCUAUACAAUCCGACCCAGGACUCGGUUCCAAAGCAUACCUUUCUCGGCCUUUUGGCUAAGAUCAAGUGUAGUAUCUGUUCUUAUCAGUUUAAUAUCUGAUAUGUGGACCAUGCGUCCACUUCGAUAUUAAAUUUAUUUUUUGUGGGGGAGGGAUCGCCACAGUGGCUUGCCACUGGGUCCCUCGAGCGUCGCCCAGGCGUUGCACUGCUGCCCGGGCCUGGCGCACCCCAACCAAAUCUAAAUCAAAGUUAUUUUUCAGCUUAACCUUGAGCGGGGUACUCUACGCGAACUUGAUUUCAGGUGGAGGGCAUCUGCGGCGGCACAGCUUGUGCCCAAGUGAUACCGGCCGGAUCAGCUUCGUAUCUCCGCUUGCCGGCGCGGAGCCGUCGGGUCUCCACGCGCCGUGCCCGGCCCCGUCGGCUGGUGCCUGGAGGCCUUGGCGGCCCUGGCGCCUUGACUUCCGGAGCCUGCGGCGGUGGUUGAGAUGUCGGAGGAGCUGCAGCGACCGACCCUGACAAAGCCACUUCCCAGUUCCCAUGGCCUUGACUUCUGGAGCCGCCGGCGGUGGGUGAGAUGUCGGAGCUGCAGCGACCGACCCCGACAAAGCCACUUCCCAGUUCCCAUGGCCGUGAGGGAGAUCUCUCUCUCAGAGCAGGUGCUCCAUCUCGAUCUAGCGCUGAUCUGUGGUUUGUUUUGUGAUACUCGAUUACGGUUGUAGCCUCUAAUGUCUAAAAUGCAUUCAGAGUUUAGUUCUGAUCAGGUGACCAGUGGUAACCAUGAAAAAUCAGAAAAUGCACUGGAAAUUCUUAAUUUGGGAUGUCAAAACUGUAGGUUGCCAACUGAGGGGACAGACAGAUGUUGAAAAGUCUUCGUUGGUGACCAUAUUUUGGGAACUGCUGCAAAUGCUUCUUUUUGUUGGUUAAUCAAACAAAAAGGUGAACCUCUCACCUCGGAUGUACCAGACCAACUAGUCAAUGGGAUGCUAAACAAAACAUUUGGGAAUGAAGGAAAACAUGUGGACUGCAGUCUGCAAUUCUGCAAACAUACUGCAAGUCUGCAAUGGUGCUCAACAUGCAAGCUCAAUUAUUGAAUGCCAAUCCACAUAGCAUGCUUACAGUUGAUUUUGGGUUUGAGUAACUGAACCUGAUGAACAUAGAUUGCUUAAAACGUGUGCUACCACUGCCAGUAGUUAGUUUCGUUUGAUUUGGGAUUUGUAUGCCAAAGUACUGCAGGAGGAUGGCUUGCCAGUAGUUCCUUUUGUGGUAUCAGGAAGAAUAUAAUCAUGUUUUUCAUUUGAUGUUCUAUAAAUCUGAAGAUUGCAAAUUUGUCCUCCUAGAUAGCAUGAUUGUGGACAAUUCUACUUGAUAGACAAAAUUGUUUGAAAUAUGUGCAGUGAUUUAGGGUUGUCUGAAACAAAGUACAUUUUCUACUGGGCAUAUACAGAACAUGUCAAAUAUUCUGGGCAAAAAACUUACUGGUAUACAUUUUAUGCUGUACUCGUAGCUAUCUCAGUGUAAUUGACACCGUCAAAUUGUUCCUUUUUGGAUGGGUGUGCCUUACAAACAGUAACUGGUAAUAGUAGGUAUUUGAUCGGAAAAUCCACAAUUUCCUUGGCAAGUAGGUGGGUACUUGUUGCUAGGUACGUCUUGUUCAGUACAUUAGAUAGGUGCAAUCAAGCUUUUCUGAGGAUUGGAGUGCAGUCCCAAUGCUUCACCAAACAUGUUCAGUAAAGGUUCUGAGGAUAGAUCCCUGGUGGAAUCGUUUGGUCAUUUAGGAUUUUAGUAAAAUGUAUGGCUGCACUCCAUGGAUAUUUGUAUUAAUUUAAGCCAAUUCAAGGUUUUUAUAUAACCACCUUGUCUCUUCAAAUACUAUCUCUGUACUUUAUUGUACAUAACAGUGUAACAGAAUGUGUCCGAUCAAAUUACAUAAAUUUUCCUUGGCAGUAAAAUAUAUAACACAACACAUCAUCUUUUGAUCAGGUUGCACGAAUUUUCACUCAAUUUCCCCUUUUCCAGGAUGUUCCAUGGAUCAGGUGGAGCAUAUGUUAUAUGCGAUGUUUGCUAGUAAAAAUGCCAGCAGAGCAUUGUCAAAGAUGUCCUUUGAGCUGCAGGAUGGUGGCUUUACGCAAAUCAAGCUCGGCUCCUUGAACGACUUGGAGUGAAGAUGGGAACCAUGAAAAGAACAGCCCCUGCAGAAGAAGGUUGCGCUAGCUAGCUUGAUCCUAAGCCCGAGCUGAAUGAAGAUGACGCACAAUGAAAACAAACAAACAUCUAAGUUCUGAGUUCUGAGCUGAAUGGACAUCACCAUGAAGUUGCUGAUGAAUGUUCCUGAGGGAGUUAAAAAAUAUUUGAAUACCUCCUUGCGCACGUCAGGUCUAAUGCUUGCAGAAAUGAUGCUUUAAUUUUACAUGUCUGCUGAGGUGUGAGUUGUGAGCUGCUAUAAAAUUGAAUGGUUGGAUAUGAUGGAUCCAUGAUCUAGUUCCAUGGUCUUCAUGUUGAAAAACGAGAUGCAUUGUUCCAUCAUGUAUGCAGAUCCCCCUGUAGCAACUUCCAAUGUUUGAGCAGCUUGCCCAAUUUCCAGUGUUUAUUUAGUAUAUAUGGCCAAUAUUUCCAGUACUUCAUUCAUACAUAAGUUCUUAGCCACAAUGCAACUGAGGAGCAGAUGAAGAUCGACGAGCAAUUUGCUCUUGUAUACGGAAAGAACAACAUUGAUUACCAGACUACCUCUUUCUAUUUACUGGUUGAGAGUCUUUGUGACUUCACUUAGUUCCAAGUUUGUCCAAUUAUCCUGCUAAAAUAUUAUCUCUUUGCUUGUGUCAUUUUCUGAUCUAUUAUCUCCUACUCAUAGACGAGAAGCGGUAGGAAAGGUGUCUUUUGCAUCUUGUUUGUUCAAACCUAUCAGAUCCACCUACGAAAGAAUGGUAUGCAUUUGGAGUAUACACGAACAACACUGUAUCGAGGUUUUAAACGUAAGAUGUCGUUAGGUUUUUGGAAUCGAUGCGAAAUAUCAUAUGAAUUGGAUUGUGCCCUUAUCCAUCAAUCAUCAUUUUUACUAUACCCAUCAUACAUAUCAACGAUCUGAUCUUAUCAUUGCUCUGGAAGUGGGCAAGAACACAUUUGCAUUCCUAGACUUCGAUGGCCGGCGCAUCGCUAUCGCCGUUGUGCUCUUCCAAGGAUCCAUCAGCCUCCUCCAUCACCACGUCCUCCAUCACCACAUCCUCCAGGAUAGCAGAGCCACCGCAGGCCUGCUGAUGCUCUUGCUGGGUGUGUUCAGCGACCACAACCUGAGACAUAACAAAGAGGCGAGGCAGGCCGUCGCCCACAGUCAGUGGCGUCCAUUGCUGCAGCAAAUUGCAUCCGCUGCAGAGCAGCUUCCACCUCCGCGACCGAGACGUUCCCCUCCCGUUCGCAGGUCGGAUGCCGAGCCCCAGUGAUGCGGUUGAAAACCGUACUCACAGGGAUAGUUGGAGCUGCUGCAGUCUUCCUUGGGCCGGACGAGGCUUCAUUCCUGAAGGCCAGAGGUGUAUCCAGGAUACCUAGCCGUGUUGCCAGCGCACAUGCUUCGUUGAUGUAGUCUGCAAGCAAGGCGCAGGUCGAGGUCACCGUCUUGCACGUGCCCGCUGCGCCCACUGAAUCGAGGAGGUGACCCGCGGCCUCCUUGAGUGCAGCAGCCUGCAUCUUGAAGAUGUUCUGCAGCACGUCGUCUUCCACAUGCUCCCGGUGCAGCUGCGCGGGCAGCGGGGGUGGAAUGGGAGCCGGUUCGGCCACCGGAACAGCCACGCCGUGCUGCCGCCCAUCACGGCGUGACCCACGUUCCCAGUCACGGCGUCGCGGGGAGCGCUCCCGCUCCCGGUGCACGCCGCCGGCCGACGCGAGCCACGCCCAUACAUCUAUGGUCUUCGUCUCCGCCGGGUACAAGAGAUUAGUAUCAAUGGUCUCCAGUGCGCAGCUCCCGCCGAUGACGCGCUCGACGAUAUCCGCGCGUUUUACAUAAUUUGAUCUUGCAAGAAUUAAUUCUUCGGAAGCUCAGCCCAACAACACAAGUUAAGAAGAGUUAUUAAAGGCCCAAGGCAACAAAAACACAGAAAGAGCCCACUCUCUGCCCAGUGCUCACGUUGCUCCGCACGAAGCCAACAAUAAAGCUUUGCCAACUGGCCUGACACUCUCUCCUCACGUUCUUCCCCCUCAGCUCAACCAACGCUGCUGUUGUUUAGUACCACACCGCCUGUUCACAGAGCACAGCACCAACUUAAAUGGCCAGUCCUCCGCGCCUCACUCGCCGAGCAGCUAGCGCCUGCUUGUAACCCGAGCGGGGGCAUUAAGGUGGUGCGGAUGCCAAUUGUGGCGCUUGGGCCUGGGUCUGCUGCCGCAAUCUGCGGCCCGCCCGUUCCAAGUUGCGUAGUGGGCCGUGGGUGCUUCGGCGAAGGCCUUGGCGUCCCGGCACCUAGAGCGGCGGGCAAUGCGUGAGGCUGGCUUCACAGAGCAGCGAAUACCGCCCGCUUCCAACGGUGGAAGGAUAACGGGCCGCUGCGCUUCAGUCCCGCUUAGGCCCAUGCGCCCUCUCUGGCAGACCACCAUCUUUUUGCAUUUUUUUUCCUUCGUUGGCCCUUGGCUCCGUGAAUCUCGAAGAACAAUUGGUUUGCCAAAAAAGAAACACACUCUGAUUCACAUGGUCAUACUCUGCUAGUGUGCCAAGUCAUGACGUGUCCUUGACUAGUGCUAAAAGACACGCAUUGCACUGCUUUGCCGGUACAGAAGAGCACAGAGUGCACCGUAUCACUCUGAAUUUCUGAUCGAUCAUUUUAGUCAUGCAUGGUUAUUAGGUCCAAAGAGUUUGUCUCAAAGGUCACAGCGCACAUGCAGACGUCCAUCAGCUCCACGGCUCUCUCCCGGCUUGCCGGCGACGAAGCACCACCACACACCCGUCAGCCGUUAGUUGGGAAGUACCGGGGCACAAGCUCCAGCCGGAACCGGCAACGGUGGAACUCCAAUUCUCCAAUGCUCUUCGUUAGAAUCCUAAACAACAAGGAGGGUACCUUGUCAACUACUGUUCUAUAUACUGAUCGGCGGACGAGAGGAGGAGGAAGAUCACCUGAAUUAUCGGUUAUGCAGGGGAUUUGAGCCUUGUGGCACUGGUCUCGCCGAUGCUUCGUACAUCCGCCCGGGAGGAGAACCACUUCCAAUACGUUCUUGCGUUCUUGGCACCUUGUAGAGCUGCUGCUCCACUGAAUAUGCCGGUCGCUCGUCUUCUUCCGCGACGAUUCGCCCUCCCUGACUGAAACCGGCAAACUCUGCAGCAAGUAGGCAUGCCAAGAAAAGCAGCACGCGCCAUGCUGGAAUCUCCAUUGACCUGGAGAUCAUUUUGCAGAGGAGGAGGAGGAAAGAUGGAGUGGAUGGGAGGAGUUCAAGCCAACCAUGCAAGUAAAGUUGAUUCUGAAUUUUGCUGAUCUGAAAGGGCUGCAGGUUUCGUUCCGGUCUUCCAGAACUAAGUAGCGGGGCAUCACAUGUUCGCUGGUGCGUCCAUGCUCCAAGUUUGGAUCCGUCCAAUAAUUGGAUGCAUGUUGGACUUGUCUAAUGCUUGACAGAUGCGUCCUCAUCUCAUAUGGAGUGACAUCAUGGCUUGUAUGAUUGAUUGCUCCGAGGCCAAAAGAGUGGUUGGUUUGGACGGCAGCCGGAUUUCAAACGUUUGGAAUCUGAAAGUUGACUGAACAUCCAGUGAAUGGAGAUCAUACUUUGCAUGUUUGGCCCCAUCUUGGUUCCAGAAGUUGCAAAUUUUUCAGGACUGAACAUCAUGGCUGAACAUUUUUUAAGGAUGCAUAGUUAUCCAGAAGUUCCAAAAUUUUCAUCAGUCAGCAGUUUAGCAUCUUCACUCCUUGAGAAAAAUGCAGCAAGUUACUGUUCAGGAAUUAGUUCUAGUCAGUUAGCAUCUUAAUGUGCUCUUGUUCUGACUCCUCACUCAUAGUUCCCAAUUUGUUCAUAACAGAGAAAAAUACCUUUUCUUCAUUUUGCCAUUUUCCGAUGAAUGAUCUAUCAGCUGCUCACUCGAAGACGAGAAGCGUCAGAAAAAAGAAUAUAUUAUCAUGUGUUGCUCCUUGUUUCCUUAGUCUAUCAGCUGCCACCUGCCUGACUAAACAAAGGUAUGCAUUUGGAUCAUACAUGAACAGUGCUGCUUUGAAGUUUUAAACUGUUACCUGUAACGAGACCUUUGGGAUCAACAAUGUCGAAGCUUUUUCUGAACCAUUGGAGUGUACUGCCUGACUCAUCAAUCACUCAUUGCACAUUCCUAUCAUACACAUUCGCAGGUCUGAUCUUAUUUUACUCCUACUCUGCAAAUGGACAAGAACACACCUGUACGCUACAGUCUUAGACUAGAAUGGAACCGUAGUCACACCGUAUGUCCGUAUCACAGAGAAGUACAUUGAAAAUACUGCAGCAAACUGAGCAUGUAGAGAAAGUUACAGUGAUUAUUCAAAAAAAGGAGAAAUUUACAGUGUCAAAACCACAACAGCAGAGAAUUAGUUCCCUUCCCAGAUUCUUUAUGUAAAGGAGGAAUUCCCUUGGAAUUUUGCAGAAACUGUACUUAUUUUGGCAAAAUCCCCGUCACCUCCAAUGCUCCGAAAAAGGCAUAGAGGAACCAAAUGCAAUGCACUUCUUUUCACUUCCACAAAGCUAUGUUUUACACCACUUCAUGAAAAAACAACAGCUUCUAAGAUCACUCUGAUAUCCCUCUCUCUCGUCGCAAGUGCAGACUGGUUUCUGAGCCUGGAGUCCGGAGCUGGUCAGUUGUGCAGGAAUUUUUUUUAAUUUUAACCCUUUUAAAACUAAAUUUUUAUAAAUAACUCCUCCCAAUCUUUAUUUCCAAGAAGUAGUCAUUUUGGUCACACCAAUCUCUAUGGCGCGACUAAUAUUUGAGUCGCGCCACAUGCAAUAGCGUGACUAACAUAACACAAUGGCAUGAACAAAUAUCAACAGCCGCGUGGCGAUGAUGUGACGAUGACGUGGCGGAGCGAGUCACGCCACGCCACGUGGCGUGACUCAGUCGCGCCAGAGAGUACGGCGAGUAUGGCGUGACCAGCUCCCCCCGUUGGUUGAAAAUGCAGCCUACUUAGCCAUAUUUCAACUUACGUUCUAAUUGACUAAUGAUCUCUUUAAAUUUAUCAAACUUGAUAAGAAUAAUAUAUAGAGUAUAUAUGUUCCAUUUUAAGCGUUUACACUCCAAAAUAUGGUUUGGAAAUCGAGGAAUCCAAUUUCUAAAUAGGCUAAGUGUUAUUGGUUGUAAGCAGAGAGAAAGCUAAACAGAACGUUAGCUUAUGCACGUAAUAGUAAAAAAAAACAGAGAGAAAAAGCUAAACGGAACGUAGAGAGGAGAAAGAGUAAUCUGUAUGCAGACAACGUUUAUACGAAUAAUGAUUGUAUAUGUAAAUGUGAGUUUCAACGAGAACUUAAAGUUUUAAGUAAUAAUGUUUAAAGGACUCAACAAACAGCUAGGAGGGACAACAUGAAAUUAUUCUUCAUCGUGUAGGCCUUUCUUCUUUAAUCUGGAGUGAGAUGACUGCAUAUAUCCAUGCCAAAAACUUUGGACAUGAAUGAAUCACAUCUGUGUGUACGUUUGCCUGAAUGAACUAUACCUACAGAAUUAAGAGAGCAUUAGCAUGAGUCAAUCCAGCUUAUAAAUAACAUGAGUCGGUCAGUGAUCAUUAAAGACAUUAUGCAUACUGUAGGGAAGAGAUUGAUUGGAACUAAAAAGUUAUGGCAGUGACCGCCCAUGGACAACAUACCUUAAUCACGUUAGUUGUUAUGAUCAUUUGGUUUGAUCUCUUUAGAUACAAGUGUACAACAAUAACGCUUAGCCUAUUUAGAAAUUGGAUUUCUCAUUUUUCAAACCAUAUUUUGGAGUGUAAGCACUUAAAAUGGAACAUAUAUACUCUAUAAAUUAUGCUUGUCAAGUUUGACAAAUUUAAGAGAUCAUUAGCUAAUUAGAAUGGAAGAUGAAAUAUGGCUAAGUAGGCUGCAUUUUUGUGCACUUUGGGUCCAACCAGAGCAACCAAGGGGGAGCUGGUCACGCAGAGGCUGGCGUGACUCGCUAUGCCACGUCAUCACCAUGCUGCCGUUAUGUCAUGUUAGUCACGUCAUUGCAUGUGGCGCGAUUUAAGUAUUAGUGGUGCCAUAAAGUUUGACGUGACUAAAAGUGCUACUUCUUGGAAAUAUAGAUCGAGAAGGAUUAUUUAUAAAAUUUUAGUUUUAAAAGGGUUAAAAUUAAAAAAAUCGUUGUGCAGUGGGUUUGGCGCCUGAGGCACCAACCUCUUGGACGCAACGAGCAUGUGCUUGCAACAUUGACCAAGGCGUCGCCCUGAAGCUGAAGAAGAUGCCUGCUUAGAGAAAUAGGCCGGUGGCAAGCCCCCUCCGCCGCUGCCGUCGUCGACACCCAGUUCUGCUACUCUCCGGCCAUAGCUAACGAUUGACAUGUCUGUCAUUACGAGAAGACUGAUGAGCAGCAGCAUUAGCAUGGUUUUCAGAGAUCUUCUCACCAUGAUGCGAUGCUUCAAUUCAAGAGAGAUGUUAGAGAAGAGAAGGUGAGGUAGAGGGAAUCAGGGAAGAAGAAGAAGAACUGGGCCCAGAAGUUUUGCACACAAAUCUGAUACUUCGCCGCUUUAUAGCGAGAAGGUUAUGGAUCACCAACUACUUUUUCCAAUGGAAGUCUAAGGAUUUAAUGGUGACGUGACAGAUUGAUUGUUCUCUUAUAACAUACCGCAUAGUCUUGAUUGAACAGUGCACAUGAAUCUCAAAGAACAACUGGUUUGCCAAAAGGAAACACUGGACUCUCACUCACACGGCCAUACUCUCUGCUCGGUUGCUCUGUCAGUGUGCCAAGAGCUAGGAAGGAUGUUUGCAGAGGCAUGAUGUGUACUUGGGCUAAAAGACACGCAUGUCACCUCUUUAGCAUGAGUGCCUGACAAAGAAGUCUUUUACCGGCACAGAAGAGCACAAAGUGCUCCGUAUCUUUCCGAUCGAUCAUUUCAGUCAUUGUUUAGGUCCCGAUUUUCGGGAAUUGAAUCCAGUGAAGAUUUUGGCUCAAAGGUCACAAAGUAGAAAGUACACGGGUGUCCAUCAGUGAUGAGUCAGAGCCAUGGCCUUUUCUUCAUAAACGAACAAAAAAAACGUUUUCUUUUUCCAUGAAAUUUUCUUGCCACGUGAGUGAAAUUUCAGCAGCCCGCAACACUUCACUGUCAGAGAAAUCAAACUCGUAAAAUUUCUCGCGCGAAGGCGAAGUGUUUCAUAAGCAUGUGGAUCUGUCCCGAUUGGCCAUCAUGUGUAUGCCACGUGCCUUAAGAUUUCAGUCAUUAAAACUCCAUCCGCACACCAGAUUUCUCAGCAGGCGGCAGCAACCAACCGAGCCCUGAUUUUUCUCCCCCGGAUUCCUCGCGGUCGCCGGCGAUGCGAUGUGACGCGAUCGCGUGGAAAACGACAUUGAUCGGCGGCGGCGUGCCGGACUCCGGCAUCUGCUGCUUGGUUCCCUUUCUUCUGCGUGAGACGGUGACGCACUGAAGCCGAAGAAGAGCGUGCGUUUCCCCGAUCUAUGUGAUUAGUCAGCAAAGCAGCCCAACCCAUCUUUAUUGGGCUACAAGGCUGGCCCAAUAGUGCUAGGAAUUCUGUGCUCUGCAGCCCACGCGGGAGGGUAUUAGCAAUGGCAAAGCAGCACAACCUGGCGUCACGGCCGCGGUGGUUAGUCCCACCCUGCUUAGUCUGAAGGUGAUUACCCAGCGAUCACACGUCUUAUAGAGCGGCAGCCGGAGGCUUGGAACUCAAGCAGCUGCGUGGUGAGCACAAAGCGAACUAUUCUUUCGCCUUUUACUAAAGAAUACCGUGUGCACGCCACAAUAAGCAGCAUACCCCAAUUUUUGGAGGGUGCUUUCUCCUUGAGGAAGCGCCCAACAAACUAAUUGUUCAAAAUUUUGAGGUUUCUCUUUACGGAUUAAAUUACGUUCUCUUCCGGGAGGUUCCAAACGGUUCAGGAUUUAAAGGUGAACACUCUACCCUUGAAUACUUGAGAAUCGCCCGCAGGCCCUUCAAUUGUAUUGUUCAAAAUCUUAAAAUUGUUCAAUUUCUCCUCUUCUCGUUGAAGAAGCCCUCGAUCUUCUGCUGAAUCCGAAUAAUCCCCAAGAGAAAGCCAUCUCAAAUGGCAGCGCCUAGCCCCAAAUUAGUGAUGUUUUCGACGACUGGCAUUCGAUUGACGAUUAAGCAAACCUUCAAUCGACUGACGUCGAGAAAUUCUGCUAUUUGUUUAUCCAUACAUGCAUGAACAUUCGGGAAGAACAUAUCAACAUUGGAGAAACAACAACAAAAAAAGAAGACAACAGAUAACUGGAUUCGAACCAUCUUAUAUUCUGAUCUCUUGACAGGGGAAACUCUACAGAAAUGUUAAUGUUCAGCAGUCUGAAUACGAGGCUAAAGUAAGAGGUAUACGGUACCAGUUCAAGCUUACAAGUACAAUGCAAAAGGGCGUCAACUGACACUUGAUCGAUUCCUGUUUAUUCGUCCAAAUAGCGUAUAUAACUUAAGAAGAAUGGGGCUCUUGCCACAGCAGCUCGAGCAAUAAUGUACAAAGAUAUGCAGCUGGAGUGGACAAUUUGCCACUGCCUCUCAACAGAUUGAGCUGCUGCCAUGGCGCUAAUUCACGACACAGUUGGCGAUCUCAGCGAUAGGGAAGGAGCUAAGCGAAGGAUUAAAAAGAAAAUGGGAAUCAGAGUAUGUAUACACGGUGUAGAAAAAUUGCUUCCUGGCCUCAGUUUUGGGUCUUCUCCACCUUGGCCUUGAUCUUCUGCUCAAUGAUCGCCUUCUCGGUGUCGAGGCUGAACAUCCGGUUAAGGGCAUGCAUGUUCUCAAGCGUCUCAUCGAGGGUGCGGCUAUCGCUGCCAUCGCACCUCAAGUGCUGCAGCGGGCCAUGGAGGAGCUUGUUCACGAUGCCAGUGCUCAGCUCCUCGAUGGCUCUCCGCAUCUUCUUGUUAAGAUUGUCUUCACCGAUCUUCUGAAGGCACUUCUCGAGCUCUGAGGCCCGGAUCCUGUCAGCAUAUGACCUCAACUUCUUGAUGGUCGGCACGGUCUCCAGUGAGUCCCUCCAUGCCUCAAACCGUUUCAGUUCUUGGGUGAUGAUUGUCUGCGCUUCCAUUGCUUUCCUGAGACGGUCCUCCUUGUUGGCUUCCACCACCUCUUUCAAGUCGUCAACAUUGUAUACUCGUGCGGAACCAACUUCAGACACACAAGCACUGACAUUUCUCGGGACAGAUAUGUCGACAAACAGACGGACACCACCCAUUGUAUCAGAAAUAGGGGGGAGUGCCUCUGCGUGCUCCUUUGUGAACAAUGGGGUUUCAGAUGCAGUGCUCGUGAACACAACAUCAGCUUCAGCAGCAGCUUCAUACAUCUCUGAUAGAGGCCUGUACACAAUCUCGAUAUCUUUCAUCUCCUCGCAAAUGGCAUCCACCCUUUCCACCGAGCGGUUCACCACAACAACCUUCUUGCAUCCUUUGGCAAUGAGAUGCUUGAUCACUAAUUUGCCCAUCUUACCAGCACCAAUCAGCAGCAUUCUACCUGACAGGGCUUCAGUCUUUGGAAGCUUCAUCAGGGCCAAUUCAACAGCAGCUGAACUGACAGAAACCGCACCAGAUGAUAUGUUGGUCUCACAUCGGACACGCUUCCCAGCUGUGAUUGCAUCCUUGAACAUCCUAUCAAUGUUCUUUCCCAGGCCUCCACUGUUUUGCCCACUCCUUACAACUUGCUUAACUUGAGCAAGGAUUUGUCCUUCACCGAGAACCAAAGAGUCAAGCCCUGCUGAUACCUCAAACAGAUGGCGUGUGGCAUCACUGUCACGCAACAUGAACAGGUGCUCCCUGAGCUCAGAAGCAGGAAUGCCACUUUUCUGUAAAACCAAAAAAAUGCACACAUCAGGGCGUCUUUCCCAAAUGGAGUCCUUGAGCAACCAAAAGGGAAAGCUGGAAAAAAAAAAAGAAGACUGGAUGGAACAAAUAUAGUUGAUCAGACUCUCACCUUUGACAUCCAGUCUACUACUUCUCUGAUACCACGGUUCCAUGACAGAGCCACCACAUAAAUUUCCAUUCUAUUGCAGGUACUAAGAACAGCAGCCUCUUCAAUAUGGUUAAGAUUUGUGAGUUCUUGAAUAGCACGAGGCCAUAGUUCCUCUGCAACCGCAAGUUUUUCACGCAUCUCCACUGGUGCUGUGUGUACACUGAGGCCUAUCACAGCUAUGCUACUCCUUUCUUUCAUGUACCCUGGUAGUGGAUAUAAAAGUUAAGACAUUAUCAAACAUGGCACACUGCACAGAGAAAAUCUGUUUCUAGUAGAAGUAAACUGAAUAUAGCUGCAUCAAUGUUAUUGCUUGAAGUUCCAUAGAUAUUUUAUUGAAGCAAAUUCUAUGUGGAGAAUUUCACGUGUUUACACUAGAUGAGUAUGACCAAAACGAGAGAGACUCAAUUUUUUUCAGUGCAAAAUGCUUGACAUCUUUGUUGUCCAAAUUAGAUUUCUCUUUCCUAAGGACAACGCAGUUCUGUAUGCAUUCACUAUCAUUUGUCUGGCUACCACAUGUUAUUUUGGUGGAUAUAAACACAGAUAACACCACCAAUUUGUGAAGCAUUGGCUCCACAAUCAGUUAGCCCUUGAACAAAUCCCCCAAAAUAACUUGCCAAAUUCACUAGUGGCUGCUUGACUCGGUUCAGAAAGGAAACCAAUUAAUGUUUCAAUUGGAAUGCCGGGCAGUUUCCUCAUCCCCAUGACCAAUUCCAAAUGACACAAGCCAACUCCUCUCUGAUGCCACACGACCUGGUCUCCGACUCCACAUACUAAUCUUACUCAACUCAUGUAACUAGGCUGUGAAAAUUUCUAACGAACGGCAGUAACAUGGAAAAUUCAAGUUAAGCUUGGUGAAGGAAAAAAUUGCGACAGGAAAACGCAAAGUUUCACACCCAUCCCUUUUUCUUCCCCAAACAACCCACACCUUUUGACCUGUACCAAACCAAAACUAAUCCCAACUGCAGCAGUAACCUCGACGCGACGCCAAAGAUUCCUCAAAUCGCGCACAAGAAAAUCACUUCACCAGGCCGCCACAAUCCCCGCAUCCCAGGAUUACAGGAAAGGAAACAGCGGCGGCGGAUUUGAGGACAGACGAGGGGAAAGGACUCACGGUCGGCGGAGAUCUUGAACUGCUCGAGCGCGGCGAUGCUGGCCGCCUUGGCCACCGCCUGCGCCUGUGCCUCCACGCCGGCAUCGCACCGCACCACCCCGGAGCGCCUCCUACCGCCGGCGGUCACCCUCGGGCAGAGGGCCAACGGCGACCCCCGCGGCUUGGCGGCGGACGCGGCCCCGAAUGCCGCGGCGGCGGCGGUCGCUGACGUCGUGCUCGCCAUCAUCUAGAUCAAGGAAGACAGAAAAGCUGCCUCCUUUCGCAAGGAAACCAAACCAAUGCGACGUGAAUCGCGGGCAGGUAGGCGGAGGGAGGGAGAUACACAGAGAGAGAGAGGCGAGGAGAAACUUCUAUCGCUUCUCUCUCUACCUCUCUCCCGCUUCUAGGAGUGGUUCUUGGUGAGGGUCCUCGGUGAGCGAGGGCGGAGAUGUGGAAUUGGUUUCGGCCUCGCGUUAGCCCGAGGGACGGGAGGGGAUGGAGAGGAGGAAGAAAGGCUCGGCUGCUGCUUGGAGCCAAAGGUUAUGGGAGGGUUGUUGGGUCGCCGGAGCCUAGCGGCAUGGCGUGUGGGGCCCACGCGUGGUGGGGUGCCUUUGGGCUCGGUCUUUGGGUCGGCCCGGAAUUUUCUAUGCUAGAAAGUAUUUUGCGUAAAGCCCCUCCUGAUCAGCAAUUAUUGCAUUAAACUUCUUACUCUCACAAACUGAACUUUGCUAGAUUCUGUGUAUCAUGUACUCCCUCCUUUCCAAAUUGUAGGUCAUUUUGACUUUUCUAAAUUUAUAAAUAUUAUUAUGCAUUUAGACAUAGUGCAUAGCAAAAACUAUGCACCUUCUAACCAAAAUAAACUACAAUUUGAAACAGAGGGAGUACAAACUUAAUUUGAUGAAGUCUAUAUGGAACUCUUCCUUAGUUCAAAGAAACAAGUAUCAUGAUUUACUAAUAGCUCGAUUAUGAGCUAUGACAAUGAACCCGUUCAUGCAUCAAAUCCGCACAUAUAUAAUCAUAUCUCAAUCACGCUUACCACGAAUUUUCAUAUGGUAGUGAGUGCAAAAUGCAAUGUGGAUUUUUCGUGUACAAUACUUUCUGUCCAAAUUCCAUCGAUGCAACGAAAAAUCAACCGUUGGUCGCUGCCUUGUUGGCGUGGCAUGGGAAAAACACAGACCUCCAUAUAACAAUUUUUAGGAAGUUUGAGGAGGCCUUAGCAUCUUUCCCUCCAUGUAUUUUGCUUACAUUUUUUUUAUGCCGCAUGUUGGCACUGGUGGGGUGGGUUAGGCGAGAUGAGCCGGCGGAUGAGAGGGUAGCGGGAGUGUGGUGGCCUCUGGCCUCUGAUUGGCUGCGGCCGCACCCUUCUAUCCACAACCCUUAUCUCUCUCCUCCCUCCGAUCUCUCUGACCCCGGGGCUUUUGUAUGGCCUGCGAGGUGGGCACACGAGUUCGCAUGGCCGCCUCACGCGCAGCCUCGUGUGGAUGAUGGCGAAGCGUGUCGACGUGGUGGCCACACUCUCCUGCCCCCCGGGGCCCUCCUGUCUGUGGCCCUUUCACGUGGAAUAUUCGGCGCCUAUUGGAUCCGUAUGGACGUGGAUUCAUGGACUCGGUCCGUUUAGAACUCGCAGGAUUUUCGUGUUUAAAAAAAAAUUACAUCCAUCAUACAACAACUAGUUAGGUGGGUGCAAAUUAAUCUAACACCUAGUAAAAUGCUCAAUGUAGUACAAUAACUUUAUAGGUGGGUACGGAUUGAUCUAACAACUUGUGAAAUGAUAAAAUUAGUACAAUUUGUAAAUUGGUUCACCUGUAGUCCAAAAUAUUAGAACAACAAUAUAUUAAGCAAGGAUGGACAUGUGAAUUUUCUUUCAGACAAUAAUUCUUAAUUUUUCUGUUAACAAGAGUUAUUAUCAUGAUUAGAUUGUUUCUUCUCAACUAUGUACAUAACUUAUUUGUUCAUUAGUAAAAAUGAAUCAAAUUUUAGAUUUACUCUAUUGGCUUUAUCGAAAGACUAAAGUCCAUAAAAGAGACUCCAUGACCUUUAGGUUUUCACCGCACUUCUGCUCAUGUAUUCAACAUCUGUAUAGAAUCAUAUUUGUUUCUGUUAUUUUAGCUUAUUUUUCUUUUCUAAACAAGUACAUGAAACUUUAAAAAUAUUUAUGCUAAGUUUCUAAAAGAUAAUUUUAGUAUGUAUUAACAUGUUGAUUUUGUUUACCUCAACAAUGUAUAUAAUCAAAUAUGUGAAAACAGUGAAGGUAAACUUUCAAUAUUGUAUACGAAAUUAAAUAUUUUUGUCAAAAUUAAAUUACUAUAUAAAAAUAAUUAAUAUGAAGAUAUAACGUCACUGAAGGUUUUAAUCUUAGCUAAAUGUAUUGACAUUAUCAUGCGAAUAUCAAUAAUAAAAUAAUGCUUAAUAGUUUAUUUUGACUUGAAAAUAAUCUGAUAGGGCAUUAGCAAAUAUGCUGCUUAUUAUAACAUUCAAACUGCAGAUGCACCAAUUGGUCAAGUUAUUAUACUAAUUUGAGCAUUUUAUAAGUUACUAAUUUGAGCAUUUUACCCACCUGUAAAGUUAUUGUACUAGAUUGAGCAUUUUAUAAGUUGUUGAACUAAUUUGUACCCACCUAACAAGUUGUUGUAUGGUGGAUGCAAUUUACUCUUAAAAAAAUCAUUUUCCAGUUUCCGGUAACAGAUCACAUGAAAAUUACAGGUUGAAAAAUAACUUGCCACAUGAAAAUUACAUGUUUAAAAAGAUAAGUAAGUCGGUAACUAGGCCCAAACCUCCAUCUUGGAAUUUUUUUUAAAACGAAUCGGGUAAGAGAGUUACCAAUUAUAUUUAAAAAUAGAAGAAAACCUAGAUUGAGCAAUAAAAAACUACCACAACAACUACUCUCACAACAACAACCAACAGCUUAGGAUUAUGGAGUGUAGUUCAUGUUUCUGAGCAUUUGCAAUUUGGUAAGAUACCCACCUGCCUUAUUUUGCCGCGUCAUUUUUGUUGAGCACGUGUUUAGAGGAUUUGCAUUCUGCCUACUGUCUUUCGUCAAAUCGUCGCGCGGUCUCUAUUGAACCCAUGUUUUGGAGCAAGCUCCAUGGUGAUACCCUUGCUUGGCCGGAUUUUUCCACUAGUACUGUUUUCCGGUAGACCUUUCGGUCGGAGCAUGCAAUUUGAGAGGCUAGGAAGGACAACAUCAAAGCCAACUGUCCCAAGGCUCCUACUUUGGCAGCUAGAAGACGUCUUUGAGUACGUCAGUUACCUGCAUCCUUGUUAAGGAUUACUGGAUGUGCUAAUAACAUGGAGUACUAGUGCUAGAUCUAUUUGGAUAUGCUAUUGUUAAAGUUUAGCUCAUCUAAAAUUUAGCACUUUCAUCCAUUAGCACUCUUGUUUGGAGACCUAGCUAAUGGAUAGAACUAAAGUCCAUAAAAAGUCACUUUUACCCUUUUAUCUCCUCACCUCCUCCCUUUCUCUCUCCCCUUUUUAUCUUUUCACGAGCCAUUAGCACCCAUUAGCUAAUGUUUUUGCACUUUUUUGUGAAGGGCUUCCAUUAGUCCUUCCAUUUGGACGUGCUAAUGCAUUAGCACUUUUCACUCAGGCCUUGUUUAGUUACCCUAAAAUCCUAACUUUAGCACUAUGCAAAAAGAAGAUUCCCCAUCACAUCAAACUUACGGUACAUGCAUGGAGUACUGAAUGUAGACGAAAUCAAGAACUAAUUGCACAGUUUGGUUAUACUUUGUGAGACGAAUCUUUUGAGCCUAAUUAGUCAAUAUUUGGAUAAUAAUUCACAAACACAAACGAAACGCUACAGUAUGCUACAUUGCUGGCGCAUUGAUUUUGGUUGUCCAAAAUCAGGCAACUAAACAAGACCUCAUUAGUCAUGGGAUCCAAACAGACCCACAUCUUUGCAUAAACUAAUCAAGAGACGUUGUACAUGGGAAAGAAAUUCGAACCAGAAAUUGUCAACGCAGCCAGCUCACACCACACUGCUAUUCCGAAAACACAUCACAUGGAGAGAGGAAUACAAUACUACGGUAGUAUAUAGUAUUGUAUUUUGUAGACGAACCUUCGUCAAAAAGAAAAAUCCUUCCGCGGUUGACACCUUCAUGGCGCGCGUUGUACAGCUCUGUUUCUGCACGUUUUAGUUGGGCGCUUGGUUUGUCAAAGCUGGGAUCUUCUGCUCACAAUGACUCAUUCCUUUUCUGCAAGGCAUGUUUGACAGGUCAGCGGAUGCAAGAGAUCCCGGCACAGAAAAUCCCUACUCGUCAAUAAAGCCUUCUCCAUGGACCCAGCUGGUUUGGUAAUGGCUUUGACCGGAGCUUUUCCUCCUCUUCCUUUGAUUCCUCUUUCAUCUGCUAGCUGCAGGCCUUUCCCACUGGACGGCAAAGGCAUGUCAAAUUCUCAGCAUGUGUUCUUUGACGGCUACAGAUUUUUUUGUUCCUUGCAGGCCAUUUAAUUUUUGGUACUUAAAGCAAUAAAAGAAUAAAAUCUCUGCUGUAUUAACCUUUUUUUUCUCGAGGUAUAUUCAUCAUGUGAUUUGCGUAACAAGAUGAUUAAUACAUGAAAACUCGUUAAUUUGGAGGGAAGACGGACAUGAAAUGGACGGUUAAAAAAAAGGAAGGGAAGUGGUAGGAGGGAAUCUUGACCUGCCCCAGCUUAAUGGCAGGAGAGGAAUGGGAAAGGUAAAGACAAGCCGGUAUCAACUUCAAACGCAACCGAACAAUCUUGCGACAUGAUCGUGCGUGACAUACGCCAUGAGAUAUUCAAGAAGAAAGCUUGUUUAGGUUGGUUGUGCGCUGUCCACCCGUCCUUGACAGGCGGAAGUAGUGGAAGUACAUCAGAAAACAAUCCUGAUGCGCUCCCUUUAUUGAGCAAUGAUCGAUGUGUUCUGGAAGCUCAUUCAGCAUUUCAGCUUAAAAUAAAAUAUCCCGAGUCUCUAGAUUCCAUGACUAGAUAUUGUACGACAGGAACAUUUGCACUACUGUGUUUAAUUGGGUUUAGAUGUCAUCUAGGUGAGCAGAAAUGUGCUUGCUGCUUAGCGUCACUCUAUGCAUUUGACAGCUUGUGCUCAUCUAUUAAUCUGGGCAUGAUGCCGCCUGACUGCUUGCUGUGAGUGACUGCUUGCUGUGAUCAAAACUUGAACUUUUACGUCAGUAGCCGGUUCCAUGAUGAAAAAAUUGCAAAUAGAUGGUGGCCUACAAGAGGAUGAGUCUCGCCAGUGCCUCUGCGUUGAGUCACUACCUUGUAGGACCGGGUGGGAACUCAACUGCAUAGGAUCCGUGUCCCUACAAGAGAGGACUCAUGAGCCCAAGCAGGCCAGGCGGACCAGGAUCGGGUGCAGUAGCUACUACCACUGCAAGCUAAGCAGUGGUACUGUAGCAGCACGGGUCCACACGCAGGGAGAGGAAUGGAUGGUGUACUGUUCAACUGCACUGUUCACUACUACCAUGUGGUACUGUGCCGAUGAAUACAGUAUCAGAACCCAGUAGCAGCCGAUCCUGACCGUGCAUCACUGAAAGUGGACGGCUCAGAUCGCAUGCAGUGCUAACAUAGGGGUGUUUGGGAUCGAAUGUUUGGAACUGCUGAAUUUUCAGACACAAAGAAUCAUCGGUGCUAACCAUCAUGGCACGCUACUACUUCUUUUUUACAGUUGAAAUAGGCAUUAUGCCUGUUCAUUAAAAAAAUGAGCCCAACCAAGCCGGGAGUAAAGCCAGGGAUCCUCCAAUAUAUGAUCCUCAAAGAGAAACCUUAAAUUUAAACAUUUAUUUUGUUGGACGCUUCCUCAAGGAGAAAGCACCCUCCAAAAAUUGGGGUAUGCUGCUUAUUGUGGCGUGCACACGGUAUUCUUUAGUAAAAGGCGAAAGAAUAGUUCGCUUUGUGCUCACCACGCAGCUGCUUGAGUUCUAAUCCAUCAGCUGCCGCUCUACAAGACGUGUGAUCGCUGGGUAAUCACCUUGAGACUAAGCAGGGUGGGACUAACACGGGUUGCGUUGAGCUGCUUUGCCACAUUGCUAACACCCUCCCGCAUGGGCCGCAGAGCACAGAACUCCUGGCAUUAUUGGGUCAGCCUUGUAGCCCAAUAAAGAUGGAUUGGGCUGCUUUGCUGACUGAUCACACGUGGUGACGUAGAUCCGGGAAACGCUCUUCUUCUCACGGCGAUGAUUAGACAUCCGUCGCCUGCAGCCCUGCGGGAAGUUUUGGAGGUGUUUGAUAUCCCACUAAACUUUAUCACCUAUCACAUUGGAUAUUUGAAUACUAAUUAGUAGUAUUAAAUAUACUCUAAUUAUAAACUAAUUGCAUAGGUGAAGUCUAAUUCGCGAGACAAAUCUAUUAAACCUAAUUAGUUCAUGAUUUGACAAUAUGAUGCUACAGUAACCAUUACUAAUGAUGGAUUAAUUAGUUUUUAAUAGAUUUAUCUCGCGAAUUAAACUCCAUUUGUACAAUUAAUUUUAUAAUUAGCUCAUAUUUAGUCCUUCUAAUUAGCAUCCGAACAUGUGACUAUGCUAAAAUUUAGCAUCAUGUAUCCAAACAGCUAGCCUAUUUACUUUUCUAGCUGGUCUGUUUUUGCUAGGUGGGCACGUGCUAUUAAUAAUAGUCUCCUGACGGUCAGCAGCACGCAGCCGCAUCUUAACUUUUCUUUUUCUUUUUCUUUCUUGUUUGUUUUUUUUUCUGUUUUUUCUUUUUCGAAUUGUUUUACGGAAAUUCCUUCUCAAGUGUAUUCUAUUUCUCAUCUUGCACGGACCAAUUCUUUGUUUCUAUUUAUUUUUCCUUUUUAAGUAUAUAUAAUGCUUUUAUUUAUUUGUAUUUUCAUAAUUCAUGUUCCUUUCCUUAUUUUUCUAUACACUACGUCUCCUGUUGCUGUACAUCAAUAUUUGAUUUUUCUUUUUUCAUGUUCCAUUAUUACUUUAAUCCUUUAUUUCAUUUGAGUUUCCAUAUUCCCAAUCUAUUUUUUUUCAUUUUUACGUAUUUCCUCCUUUUGUAUUUUUUUGUUAGUUUUCAUUCUUCCCAUAGUUCCACAAUGUGUUUGUCCUAGUGCGCAAAUCUUUAUAUCAUGUGUUCAUACAUUCUUUGUAUAUGUUUAAUUUUUUAUUUAUUUUACAUUAUUCCAUACUUCUCCCAUGUCCAUAAUAUAUUUGUUGUAUAAUUUAGUUUGCCUGUAUAAAUAUUUUUUUAAUAAGGUUGUUAAAUUUGCUCCUUAUCUAUAGAAUUUUGUUCCUUGAGUUUGUAUAAUUUGUUCAGAUGAUUGGUUAUGGACUGAGUUUAUAUAAUUUGUUCCAUACAUAUAAUUUUUUGUUUCGUGAAUUCGUAUAAUUUGUUCUGAGUCUAUACAUUUUUAUUUUUUUAUAUAUAUUCAUAUAAUUUGUUCGAGGUGUGCAACUACUUUGUUCUGUGAGUUCGUAUAAUUGUUUCAGAGAUGUUGGGGGGAAAUAUUAAUGACCUCAUAAAGCCCAUGAAAACAACAAAUCAUAAAGGUCCAAGCCCGUCUAAGGCGAUAAAGACUGCCGUCGGCCCAACACGGGAGGAGAGAGCCACGCUCCGCCUCGCCCGACCCCGACGUCCCGGGAUCAGACGCUCCCGACCCCCCGCCGCAAGACUCCGCCUCGCCCGACCCAGGGCACAGGGGAUCGGACUCACCGGGGCCCACCAGACAAGUAUCCGCCUCGGGCGCGGGUCUCGUGGGUCCCCCUGUCGAUCUCGCCAUAAAUGCGUCACAGUUCUGACACGCAGAAAGGCGCUCGUGCCCCCGACGCAACCCGCCACAAGUACCCUUGCGCGGCCAGGCAACAGUGGCUGCGGCCUCCUCCGAUUCUCCUCCGAUUCGCUACAGGGCACUCAUGGCCUGCGUCGCCCGAAGCAGGAGGAAGCCUCGCCCGUUCUCGCGCCCCGCGCAUCCGGCGACAGAGACGUGACGUCUGCCUUCCGCGGGCCGUCCGCAAGAUGGCAGGAUCAGCCGCCUUCCCCAACGGACACAGGUGCCACGACGAAACACCAUCAUCACGCCUGGCGGCAACAGCCACCAAGGAGACCAUCGACAGGACUCAACGGCGGCCGCCCUCUUCCAGCGGACACGCCGGCGGGAGCCGAAGACCGGAGAGGAUGCCGGCGGCCUAGGGACUUGGUCCCUCCCCUUGUGUUGUAUCUUACUUGACUUAGUUUAUCUCUUUUACUUCUCCUCACACCCGGUUUCACUUGUAACCCCGGUGGCCUCCUUGCACUAUAAAAGGAGAACCGGGGGCCCUGAGACAGGGGGACUCUCAGAAGCCAACAGAACCCUCUCACUCUCAUUUAGAGCAUCAGUGCACACCCAAGAGACUUGGGACCAGCUCCCUCUCUCGCCCUCCUGUAACCCCUACUACAUACCCCGCGUGGGCAACACGAGCAACUCCCGAUACUAGACGUAGGGCUCUUCCUUGUCCGAACCAGUCUAAACCCCAUUUCUCCCACGCCACCAUCCAAAGCCUUACGCGCAUAAAAGAAAUUUACUAGUCGUAGUCUUGAUCCGCUAAUCUUGACAACAACAAGAGAUACAUAUCAUAAAAUUUUACCUUCAUAAAAGAUAUAUCCAUAAAUAAAUUUCAUCCAAAUAUAGUUGAGUGUUUAUUCUGAAGAUCUUGUUGUAAUAAGAUUAAUAGUGCAAUCGGAAUUUAAUUUAGAUGGUCGGUUUAAGAAUUAUGUUUUUUUUUAAAAUUUUGAACACCCCUUCACAUGUGGACGAUGUCAUUAAUUUCGUCUUUUCUACAUGCAUCCACGUGAAGUUUACUCCUUUCGAACGGGCUCCUUACCGCUUUUUAAGCCUAACUUGGCUCGCUUUACCGAUGCGGACAACUUUUUUAGCCUAAUAUAGGCCGUCCUACUGCUGUGAAUACAUGAUGUCUUAAUUAAUCCGGAAAACUCUUCGGAAAGGUAGGAAGGCAUUGAAUCUUCUAGUAUUUGAGAUUCAUGCAAGUAAUGAGUUCCAUAAGAUCUACAUCAAAUCUAAACCCUAUCUCCCUCCGCUGCUUGCGCCGCGGCCCCCUUGCCACGGUUGCCACCCCUCCCUCCCCUACCACCACCCCUCACGCGGGCCCCGCCACCCUCGCCGGAUUCAACUUUUUUUUGAAAAAAAUAUUGGUGCAACUUUUUUUUUCAAAAAAUGUUAGAUUCAACUUUUUCUAAAGAAAUGUUGGCUCAACUUUUUUCGAAUAAAUGUUGGUUCAACUUUGUUUUCCGAAGAAAUGUUGGUCCAACUUUUUUGAAAAAAAUGUUGGUCCAACUUUUUUGAAAAAAUGGGAAGAAGAUAGUUGAGAUGGAUCUUGGUGGGUUGGAAGAUAAGGCAGAAAUCUUACGAGUUUGAUUUCUCUGACAGCGAAGUGUUGCGGUCCGCUGAAUUUCACUCACGUGGCACGAAAAUUUCAUGGAAAAGCCGUGCUUUUUGUUCGUUUGUAUGAAGACAAAAAGCAAUGACAGAACUCACCACUGAUGGACGUCUGCAUGUGCACUGUGACCUUUGAGACAAACUCUUGGACCUAAUAACCAUGCAAGACUAAAAUGAUCGAUCAGUAAUUCAGAAUGAUACGGAGCACUCUGUGCUCUUCUGUACCGGCAAAGCAGUGCAAUGCGUGUCUUUUAGCACUAGUCAAGGACACGUCAUGACUUGGCACACUAGCAGAGUAUGACCAUGUGAAUCAGAGUGUGUUUCUUUUUUGGCAAACCAAUUGUUCUUCGAGAUUCACGGAGCCAAGGGCCAACGAAGGAAAAAAAUUGCAAAAAGAUGGUGGUCUGCCAGAGAGGGCGCAUGGGCCUAAGCGGGACUGAAGCGCAGCGGCCCGUUAUCCUUCCACCGUUGGAAGCGGGCGGUAUUCGCUGCUCUGUGAAGCCAGCCUCACGCAUUGCCCGCCGCUCUAGGUGCCGGGACGCCAAGGCCUUCGCCGAAGCACCCACGGCCCACUACGCAACUUGGAACGGGCGGGCCGCAGAUUGCGGCAGCAGACCCAGGCCCAAGCGCCACAAUUGGCAUCCGCACCACCUUAAUGCCCCCGCUCGGGUUACAAGCAGGCGCUAGCUGCUCGGCGAGUGAGGCGCGG